AUGAGAGGAGAGGAGAGGGGAGGGGAGGGGAUUAAAGGAGAGGGUUUAGGGGGGUUUUAUAUAUAAGUAUAUAGGAGAGGGGAGAGAUUUAAAUUUCGAAGCUUUAAAGAGUGAGUUUUAAGAGGAGAUUUUUUUUUAGGAUAGGGGUUGUUGAGACUUUUUUUCCUUUAUUUUUGUGAAACAGAUUUUUGAAAUUCAGAUGGGGAUGGGUCGGAUUCGGGUUCGCAAUUGGGUUUGGAUUUGGAUUCAAUGAACAAAAAUUAGAUCUUAUUCAUAACCUAUUAUUUGUUUAAAAUAAAUCAUUAGAAGUUGUCUCAGGAGUUUUGCUAGGAAUUUUGAAACUAAUCCUUGAAUUUUAAUGGUUUAAUAUUUGUUUAAUAUUUCGACCCGUUUAUUAAAUAACUUAGCAUAAGAACGAAAUCACCGUUUCGGAGCAGAAAAUUUUGAGUUUAAAUCAUUUUCAAGCUCGAGUCACAUUUAAUUUCUUCUAACUAAAAUUCAUUAAAAUAUCACGAUUAUAAAUUUAAACUAUUAAAAAUAAAAUAUUAAAAUACUGUUCUCUAGCAAAUAUACACACACAAAUGGGGCGGGAGGGCCCCAACCUCCGGAUUUGGGACGGAUUAAUUUUAAUUCUAUUUUUAAACUCCACUUUCCACUCCAUUGAGGAUAAUGCGAAGCGGAGACAAUUUUUUAAAGGAUCAAAAUGGAUUAAAGGAAGAAAAAGUCUCUUGCCUCCCGCUCCAUUUUCUUGGCGAAUCCGGACGAAUUCGAAACGAAUUAUGUUAAAAUCCGGACGAAUUCGAAACGAGUUAUAUUUUUCUAUAUUUUAGGUUCUCGCUCGUCGCUCCAUUUAGAGCGGAUCAGAACAGAAGCUCUACCGACCCGGAUCCAUUUGAUAAACUAGAAAUAGGAUACAAUGGAUCUAGGAAAGAUUCAAUAAACAAAAAUGAGGAGUUCCAAAAUUGGGGACUAGAGGUGCAAUUUAUCCAAAAAGAAACAAGCAAAAGAGGAGGAAACCAUACAAAUUAUAUCAAUCUACACUUCUACAAUGACUUGAAGAAAAGGGAAAAAGAGAUGCUGGUUCUUGAAGAUGUAAAGAAUUACAAAGCAAAGGUUUAAGGAUGCAGUUCUUUUCUGUGAAAAAGUGCGACUCCGAUGAGUCUUGCAUUUCCUAGAUUAAUCGCCGGUAGGGGACGCGACGAAGAAAUUUACGAUUUUGACUUCAACUUCAACUCUGCAUCUGAUGAAGGAAACACUCUGCCGCGGUGAUUGAAGAUCAUGAAGUCGAGGUUCGUUGGGAGCGAAACGAUCCUGCAUUUCAUUUGCCAGUUCAUUAGCGAAAGAGCGCGAGAGAGAGCUCUACACAAAUACAGUUUCAAUCAAUUGAUACAACCAAAUAUUCCGACAAUUGCAAGUAUGAAUGAAAUAAUUCAGGCAGGCUCCCGACAAGUAUUGCAGAAAUAAAAUUCUGACUUAAUUCCGCAGCAUUUUGAUGGCCGUAUUGUCGGGAAUACCGAUCUCGAAAUCACUAUGUGAGCCUUUUUCUUGGGAAAUGGGUUUACUUUAGAGCACAUCUCUAAGCAUUUGGACAUGGGAUGUGGAUUCUUUUUAUCUACUCAAAGUACACCAGUGAGAAAGGCAUUAAGCGCCAAAUCUCGACUAGGCUUUGACUAUAGCAUGUCCUCCGAAAACAGUCGAUGGAGAUAUGUAAGUUCAAAAAUGCACCACAAUAUUUGGCACCUCCUGUGCACUCAUUACAACAUACUGCUCCGAGAGAGAACAAAAGGGCUGUCCCGACAAUAUGUAAUUGUUGUUGUGGUGUUUUGUGCAAUUAUUUUGCAAGAAUUAUAUACAAGCUGGUUCAGAACACAAACUCACUUGCGAGAGAAUACGCACUUGAAUAUGCGAUGCACUUAGCACAAGAGAAAGUAAAACUUUCUAUGCCACAAAAAGAGAUGCAACAUCAGAAAAUGAGGCGAGUUUAGACCAAGAGCUACUCUGUCUCGUAUUUUCAAUCCUAUUGAAUGCAAACAUUGAGCAUACUAAUAAUAGGCAAUAGCAUAAUCAGACAAGUUACAUAUUGUAAUUCCGUAAGAGAAUGUCUGAACGUGAGAGUAAGGAAAAGUCCUCUGAUCCAGUUUAAGUAGAGAACGCGAACCUCAGCCACUUUGUACAGUAGCUGCCAUAUAGAACAACGGAACCUACAUCAAAAUUUGUUCGAACAUAGCAUCCGAGAACUCUCUGCUAGCGUCGGCAAUUCUAGGAAACGAUCUAGCAGCGAGUUUUCACACAUGGGAGGCUUUAAUCCGACAAUUGAAGAAAGGAAAAAAAAAAAAAAAAGAGGAUCAAAACACCCCAAAAUUCAAACAAAAAAAAGUGUAAUUCCGAAAUUGGAUGGACAGAAGAAUGAUUAGGAAGAUACCACGCGUCGAUGGUGAAAAGAUGGAGAUAACAAGGAGAAGCAAUGUGAGAAUAAGAGAGAGACCGGAUGGAGAGAUACCGAAAGCAUAUAACGCACUCCCUAAGUGUUUUGAUUUCUUAAGUUUGGAGAAAUGUGCUUUACUAGAUAGAAUACCAAAUCCAACCUUAAUGAAAAAAAAAAACUAUGCAGUAACAACAACGAGUUAUUGAUAUAUAUAUAUAUAUAAGUCGAUCUGUAUUGACGUUCUGAACGAACCCCUCGUACUGCGUUCCUAAAAAAACCAGCGUACCAUGUCUCUCCGUACAGGUACCAUGUAACAUUGAUCUCAUCAACUAGCUUACACGUAAUUUAAAACCGGCACAAUAUCAUCCUAAGUAACUGAUAAUAACUUCUCACUAACACAUAAUACUCAAAACCACUAUCAUACAACACCCGGUCGCAAACUCGAAAAGUUUUCCUUCUUCAACUUCCACCUCAAUCCACAAACUAGAAGUGAAGCUAUUUUUAAAUAAUUUCACACAAGAAUUGAUUAAUCAUGUACAAGAAGAAGCUAAAAUUGAAAAAAAAAAAAAAAAAAGGAGAAAAGAAUACCUGUUUUCAUCUGAAUCAGGGAGGAUGGAGAGGAAUUUUGUGGGCGCGGCGAGCCCCGCCCACAUGCAAAGGGCUAACCCUAGAAGCAACUCCACCACCACCUACAGUACAUAACACACAGAGAUCCACCAUUACGAAAGAUCGAAAAAAGGGACGAAAUUGUAGAAAAUUAAGGAAAUAAAAAAGAGGACUCAGAAAUUCAGAACAAAAUUUGGAUUUUUGACAAGUUGGUUUCGGAAGUAGACGAGAAUCCCCAAAUAGCCAAAUCCAAAAAGAGGCGAAAUUAGAGAAAUACUUGUACUUGGAGAAUAAUAAUAACUCCAAAAUUAGGGGGAGAAAAGUUGGGAUUUUGAGACCAGUAGGAUCACACAACUAUCCAAAUAUUAAAAACGGGGCAAAAUUGUUGAAAUAUUAAGAGAAUAAUAACUCAAAAUUAUGGAAAAAGGUGGGGUUUUGAGAGGAGUGGGAUCACACAUACAUUCAUGGGAGGCCCCGAGAACUCUUCCUCCACGAUCUUGAGCAUCCCUCGAUCUAUUACGCGACGAAAUCGAUCCAAAAACAAAAAUUAGACAUCAAAACAAGGGGGAAAACAAAGAUUAAUCGCACCAACUGAUCCGAUCCGAAGAUUAGGGUUUAGAGGGGGGAGGAGGUUACACUGGAUGGUGGCGUAGGCGGCGUGGGCGAGGAUUAAGCCGCCGAAUACUCCCAAUGCGAAUCCAAAUCCCAUCUCUCACCCCUCCCCCCUCCUCUCUCUCCUCCUCCUCGUGGAUUCGAACUAGGGUUUGCUUCGGGAUUCGAUCGGGGAGAGAGAGAAAGAGAGAGAGAGAGAGGAGAGAGAAACUCAAAUUGACAAGGUAAAAUUUAUGGAGACCCCCUCGGUUAUAGCUCAUUCUGAAAUUGCCCCACAACCACUUUUUAAUUUGCGUAAUCACGAUAAUUCCAUCAAAUUCAAUAGUUUAAAAUAUUUCAUGUGAAUAAAACUAGAUUAACUAGCUCCUGAUAAUAGCUUAUUGCGCCAUAAAAUUCAACGAUAAUUUUUAACUUAAUUAACUACAAAAACUCAAAUAAAAAAAUUAUAAAUUAAGUGGAUAUCAAUAAAUAAAUAAAUAAAUAAAUAUUUCACAAUGGCCUAUAUUCAUAGUUGAGGGGGGGUCUCCCUACAUUUCAUUUUAUACAUUAGAGUUGUAAAACAUAAAUCACAGUACUGUAACAUUAUAUAUAUUUUUGUUCUAAUUGAUUUUAUUAGUAUUAAAUUUCGAGUUCGAAUCAUGUCAGGCUCCAUUUGCUUAAAUCUGAUACGACGCUCGUAUCGUUUGUUGUGCACACCGGCCUAUCAUUGGGCUCGAAUCCGGUUGGGUUCCCAAAGGCCAAAGCCCGAGUUAGGCCCCAACGGAUUUCACUUAACGGGCUGAGAUUCGGCCCGCUAAGUUUUUCGAAAAUACACAAAAUAAACAAUGAUAACUUUGCACACAAAUUUUCACAACAAACAUAUUUGCCUUUCCGCGAAGUCGAGUGAACCGCGACAAAUUAAUCCAUUAAGCGAAAUCCGAAAGCUAUUUUUGAACUAAACUUCGAGUUUCAGAAGUGAAGAGUUGCAAGCGAGUAAGCAGGAACAGCGCAACCAAAUAAAUAUAUCGACUCGGAGGAGAGUUUAUCUACAACGGAACACUAACCAUGAACUUAACAAUCCAAUUUCAGCAUAUAUCGAGAUAAUACGCUGGAAUUUACAACCAUCUAAGUACUAAUUCACGCGAGUUUAUACGACUGAUCCGAAUGUUUUCUCGCUGCUGUAGCACAUGUAGAGGAAACCGUCGUCGUCUUUGUACAUCCCGUAUAUCGAAUCCAUCAGGCUUGCUGCGGAACAAGAUACCAAAGAUGCAUCAGAACUAAACUUGCCGAUCCAUAACAUGAGCGGAAAUUGAACACACCUGUUUGAGGCAGAGUAUUCUUCACAAACACAAAAAGUGCUUUUCCCGGCGAAAGAUGUAGCCUGCUGCUUAAGAUGUGGAUGAACUGGCCGACCGACAUGUCGCGGGGAACCAGAAAUCUGCGAUAGGGUGUUGCAUUGUUACACAGUAAGAAGUAAUUUGCUAAGUUUAGUUGGUUUGUGAGAAAAAUGUAGCGCAACGCAAAUGACUAAAUUAUUACUCGAUCCAUGAGCUCUCUCUACAACAUAGCGUAGGAAGCGAAAACUGAUUAAAUCGUCAAACAUGAACAAGUAACAUAACUCCAUAACAGUAAACAUAAGUACAUGGAUUUCGUUCAUCUUUUUCCUGCAUUGCGCACAGAAGCUAAGUAAUCUACACGAAACAUAAUGACUAGCGAUAUGCCAGCGGUCGGAGCAAUUGCGACAAAAGCAGCAGGACAACAGAUGAGGAUAAUAAGUUCUACCAAUUCGAAGUAGCAACGUACCUUUUCUUUUCCAUCUCCGGAAGAUCAGCCCUCGAAAAUCUUUCAACAAUAACCUUCGAGAAAAGAAAACAAGAAAUCUUUAAAAACAAUCCUUAACUGAGGAUUGGAAAAUGAUAUAAAAUUUUGAGGUACAUUGCACAUCUAGCAAACCAAACUUUGAUAAAAGUUGCGCGUGAAUGCCUAUUAAUAAGAUAUCGAAUUGGUUGAUAAGGUGGUGGCUAAGAGCAUCAUGCUUCUCCGAUGAUAAAAGAUGCAGUUACAAACACGUCAAUGAAGAAGCAUUUAGCCACAUGCUUCUACGAUGGUAGUUGUAACCGCAGUUUUACCGUAUAAAAGAACGAACGAUUGAAAGUGGUUUCAAAUUUUUUUUGGAUCUUUCAUCGUGUAAAAAGUGUUUUAGAACCUAUUCACGCCGCAAAAGUGUGAAAUAGGACUUAGCAUAUGACGAUUCAGGGGCCUCGACUUUCCAUAACAACGCUCAUUUUAACAGCAAAUACACAUCUCAUCGAAGCUCAUUUCAACCAAUUUGAUACAUUUAUAAAAUUCUGCGCAAAAUUUAAUUUAAUCACCUUCCUAACAACUCUUAGCAUCAUUUAUUUUUUUUUUUUUGCUUUUAAACAACUUGAAAUUAUUAGCAUUGUGUGGAAACUUUGUAUUAGUGCUUCACACUCUUGUAAUGCUUAGUACUAUUUUUUUUUUUUGUUUUAUCGCAACUAAAGAUUACAACUUUGAAUCGUAUGUGGCAAAGAUUGAUUAAAUCCGCUUGAGAUAGCAAUUAAUUUACAGAAUAAUUUCCAAAAAAAAGGAAAAUUAGGAGAGAAAAGAGGAGAAAUUAACAUACGGGGACUCGAUCGGGAUACUUCGCGAUGAUGUCCUUAGAUUCCUUCACCCGCUCCUCUGCCACAGAUCAAACGAUUCCCACAUAGAUCAACAAAAACGGAGCGAAAAAAAAAAUCUCAAAAAAACUCAGAAAAUGGGGGAAAAAUCUCAUAUUUGCUGCAAAAGGGGAAAAAAAAUCUCAAAUCUGCAGCAAAAAAGAGAUAAACCUCACAUUUGCAGGAAAAAAAACACUCAAAAAAGGGGAAAACAUCAAAUUACAGCCAAAAAAACCCAAAAAAAGGGGAAAAUCAAACGAAAUCGAAUGGGAGAUGCGGAGAAUGAUGACGAACCGAAGGUGAACAUCUCCUUGAAGGGUCGGAUCUGCUUCAUUGUGCUUCGAAUUCACAAGAGAGAGAGAGAGAGGGAGAGAGAGUGGAGAGAGAUUAGGGUUUCGAGCUAGGGUUUUUUUUAUUUUGCUUUUUCAGAUUCGGAACGGAAAAAGACGAUUAUUGGUACGGACCUAUUUCGGUACACGUGGACCAAUCAAAAAAUCGUCUUUUUCUUUUUUUCGCGCCUCAAUAUUUCGUACUGAGGGCACGUCGCAUUUAUUUGUUUGGGGACAGGGAAUUGAUUGGGCCAUUGAUUGUGACCCCACCCACUUAUUUAUUUUAAUAUUUUUUUUUAGAAAAAACUUUAAAUAUCUUUCUCGUAGUUUCGCACUUUGUCACUUUACUAUCAUGUGAUUUCAAGUGUAUCAAGUUAAUACUCUGUAGUUUCGCACUUUUUCACUUUAGUACCCUGUGAUUUCAAGUGUAUCAAGUUAGUAUCCUGUGGUUUCGUAACUUUCUCACUUUAGUACCAUGUGAUUUAAUAUUUUGUUAAAUUAUAUAUCCCGAAAUGAAUAAUAAAAAAAAAAAAUUAAAACCACAGAAUACUAGCUUGAUAUAAAAAUAAAAUUACAGGGUACUAACUUGAUACACUUGAAACCGCAGGAUACUAAAGUGAGAAAGUAUGAAACCACAUGAUACUAACUUGAUAUACUUAAAAUCACAUGAUACUAAAGUGAAAAAGUGCGAAACCAUAGGGUAUUAAGAAUUUUCCCUUUUUUUAUUUUGAAAAAAUACAUAUAGAUCCUUUUGGCUACAAUAUCCAAACUUUAAUAAAUUAAAUAAUUUUUUAUACAUUUUAGAUAUAUUUUAAUUUUGAGAUAAUAUGUACAAUACCAAAAUCUUUAGCAUUUUGGCGAAUAGGUAUGUGAAGUUUUUAUUUUUAUAAUAAAUUUUUAUUGGGGAAAACUUCAAAAACCCCCCCUGUGGUUUCGUGCAUUCUCACUUUGCUACCUUGUGGUUUAAAACGUAUCAAUUUAUCCCCCUGUGGUUUCAUUUUUAUCUUUUCGGAAGCUUUUUCGUUAAUAUUUCGUUAAAUUAUAUACAAAAAACUUCAGAUAACCAUCUAUAUUUAUCGAAUAGUCACUUUAGUAUCCUUUAAUUUUAACUUUGUCACUGAUUUUAAAAAAAAAUAAUAAUACAAUUGAUAACAAAAAGAUAAAAACGAAACCAUAGGGGGGCAAAUUGAUAAGAUAAAAACGAAACCAUAGGGGGGCAAAUUGAUACGUUUUAAACCACAGGGUAGCAAAGUGAGAAUGUACGAAACCACAAGGGGGGUUUUUGAAGUUUUCCCUUUUUAUUGCUUGAGCGAAGCUAUUAAUUCAACAAUUAUUUUGAUCGCAUAUUUUAUAUAUAAUUAUGUAUAACUUCAAAAUACAAAAAAAAACUUACUUUUUAUCUUCUAGUUUCAAUAAUUAGGAUGAAUCUAUUGCUUUCUUUUUAUGUAUUAAAAUAGAAAAUUGUAUAUUUUUUUUUAUAUUUUAAAACUUGAUAAGAUUUGCGAGUACCAAAUUAAACGACGUAUAUAUAUUUAGUAACUUUGACUAAACUAAGCUUGGUGUUGGAUUAAGCUUAAAAGUUUAGGACUUUUGUGGAGUAUUACAGUGUCGGUGUUUGCUCGUCGUUUCUUUAUUAUCUUCGUCUUUGCUCAUUUUAUUUAUUUAGAGAUUUACAUAUAUAAUGAGUCUAAGCUUUAUAAUAAUAAUAAUAAUAAUAAUAAUAAUAAUUGUUAGGUCGAAGGUCGCGACAAAUUUAUUAUUAUUAUUAUUAUUAAAAGAAUAAUUUUUUUAACUUUUUCUUUGUUUAGGUUUGUGAACCUUCUUUUAAUGCCUUUUUUUCUUUUUCCUAAGACACCUGCAUAUGUAAAUAAAACCUACUUACAACCAUUUCCUCACCAAAAAAAAAAAGGAAAAAAAAAAACAGAACUUAUUUUGUCAAAACAAAAAAAAAAGGCUAAAUUACAGAUUUUUUAUAAAUACUAUUUUUUUACUUUUUUUCUGUAACUUUUAAAAACUUAUAUUUUACCCACUCAAUAUUUUAAAUUAUUACAUUUAGCCCCCUCUCCAUUAUGGUUUCGUCACUAUUCCGUUCAUUCCUUAUAAUUUAUACUUAAAAUAUCUUCAAAAUAAUAAAAAUAUAUUAAAAAUUAUUUUUUUUAUAGAAAAAGUAAAGAUUAUUCGAUCAUUAUUUUAUUUUUAUUAACGCCGUACCUACCCGGAUAAAUUUUUUUCUAAAAUUUUUAAGAAAAUAAAAGAUAAAAUUUUAAAAAAUAAAAAAAUAUUUAUAAAUUUUUUUUUUGAUUUAUUUGCCAAAUAACAAAAAAAAAAAAAAAACCUGAUACUCCAGUCUUCAUGGAUGAGCCAUAAAAAAAGUGCAGUCUGCUCACCAGACUAGAAGCUGAAACUUUUAGUCCAACAUUGCAUGCUCCAUGCCAUCCCCGUCGCCGUCGUUGUCGUUGUCGUCGUGACCCCCUCGCUCUAUCAAAUAUCAACAACUUCUGAUUCUGAUGCCUGAAUAACUAAAAUUUUCAAGCAACAAAUACUGUAGACAUAUUUGGUUCGCUUCUUUUUACCAUAAAAUCGGAAUCGGAAUCGGUGAAUUUGUUGUGAGUAUUUGGUAUGCGGGAGUUUCAUUCUAAUGCCAAUUUCCGAGUGGAAUGAGAAUCCUCCCGGUCAUCUUUUUUUUAAGCCGGCUUAGGAGCCGGAUUUUGAAUUGAAUCCGGACGGAAUGAAUAUUUAUUCGGAUUAAAUUUAUUUUUUUCAACUUUUUAAUUAAAAUAUGAGUUAAAAUUUAAAAAUUAAAUAUAUAAUUUUAAAUUUUAAUUUGAGGUUAAUUAAAAAUUAAAAUUUAAUCAAGUAUUCGAAUCUAAUUUAUGAAUUUGAAUUUGAAUUAAAUUUUAAUUUAUAUAAAGUUUUAUUCAAAUUUUAUUUCAAACUUAAAUUAAAUUUAUGGAUUCAAAUUAAAAUUUAAAUUGUAAUUUUAAGUUUGGAAUUUGAAUAAAUCAAAAUUUAGUUUCAUAUUUUGAAUUAUCCACUCAAUUUCAAAGUUUAAUUUUUUUUAAAAAAAUAGAUUUAAAUUUUGGCAGUAUUUCAAAAUUUUGAUAUAAAUUUUUAAUAUUUAAUAUUUAAUUUAAAUUUAAAUUAAUAUAUUAUAAAGAUAAUGUUAGUAUAUUAAUUUGAUUACGUUUUUUAUAUCCACCUGAACCAAAUACUGAUAAUGGGAAUGAUUUAUUCUGAUUCCGAUUCAGGUAAUGAACCAAACAAAAUUAGGUAAUGAGUCAUUCCAAUUCCGAUCCCAGUUUAUUUUGAUUCCGAUUCGGAUUCCAACUCCGACUUUGAGCCAAACACGCCCUAUGUGUAUUGACUGCUUUUAUUGCAAAUGAUAAAAUAUUUAAUAGUUGGUAUUUGACAUUUCAAAAUAAGCAUAAUUUUUUACAUUUUCAACUAAAUUUAUUUUUUAAAAAUAAAUAUAACUGAUAGCUUAGAAAUAAAAAUAUUUUGUCGUACGUUUUUCACAUUGUAUACAAAUAAAAUAGCAAGACUUUUUUGAUAUAUUAAUUUAUUCCAAACUUGCUAUGUUAUUCUUUAUUAGACCUAGCUCUUUCAUGCCACGUGGCUCAAUGAAAUUGGAUAAUUUUUUUUGAAUAAAUUUGAAAUUUGAUUAACUAAAUACUCUAAAUGAAAAUUUUUAUUUUUGAAAAUUCGAGGCAGCCAAAUAAGGUGAUCUAAUAUAAAAACUCAUCUUAUAUAUCAUAUUAUAUGUAAAUUAAAUGUCGGUUGGUUCGACGUAAUUAUAAAUACAGUAUAUAGUUGAAGAUGUAUAUAUUAAAAAUACAAUAGUUAUAAUUAUAUACAUCUUAUUUGGUUGGAUAUAGUAAAAAAGCACUACGACUAUAAAUAUUUUGGUUGUUUGCAUGGGAGUAAAAAGUGUAAUUAUAAAUUUCUAUCUUUUUCUAUGUAUAGGGCGGUGAGAUUACGUACCCUUUGUACAGAAAAAGAAUAUUUGUUUAAAAAAAAAAAGAUUACUAGGGACGUAAAUUUGUUUUUGUUUAAAAUUAUUUUUUUCAAGUGCUACAAUUUCAAGUGCGGCUAAUUUCGGCGUAAUUCUAAGUGCUGCGGUUGAGCCUCAUUGUAUAGUUACAACUGCAGUAGUUGAACUUAAAUAUAUUAAAAUAAAUAUUGAAUUUGGCCUUGUAUAUAAUAAUUAUAACUGUAAUAUACUUGUAAUAACGAGUAAUGGUACAACAUCUAAGAAUCUGUGCGAGGAGGGACUGGAUCUGGAUACGGGGGCAGCACUAAAGAGCAUAUCACUUUGUGACACUUUUUAAAUUUUUUAUUUUUAUUUUUUAUUUUUUAUUUAUUUUUUUUGUGUGCAUGCAUGCAGUUGUAUUUGACCAAAUCAAUAUUUAUUUUGCUUGGUCAGCAAAUCAGGUGUGCUCACAUGGAAGUCUAAAAAGAUGUGCUGCACAGCUCAUCUACACCUUUGCCGGCGUAGUAGUAGCAUUAGUGCUAAUUAAUGCUGCAUGUAUAUAUUAUGCAUGAUGCUUUGCACACGCGCAAGGUGUGUAAACAUCUGAUAACAUUUUUGUGGUUUCGUAUUUUCUUAUUUUAGUAUUUUAUAAUUUAAAGUGUAUUGAGUUACUGUUCUGUGAUUUUAUUUUUAUCUUUUCGUCAGUUUUUUCAUUAACAUUUUAUUAAAUUAUAUAUAAAAAACUUUGGAUACUUCGUCUAGAUUUAUUGAAUAUUUACUUUGGUGUAUCCUUUAGCUUUAACUUUGUCACUGAUUUAACGAAAAAAAUUAAUGGAAUCGAUAGCAAUGAGAUGAAAACGAAACCACAUAAUACUAAAUUGAUACACUUUAAACCACAUGAUACUAAAAUGAGAAAGUGUGAAAUCAUAGGGUUGGUAUUUGAAGUUUUUUCAAAAAAAUAAUAACAAUAUCAUUAUUUUAAGAAAUAAGGGAUUAAUAAUCAAGCAAAAUAAUCAAGUUAUCAUGACUUAUUUUAUUAAAAAAAAAUUUAAUAUAUUUUUAUUAUUUUUAAAAAUAUUUUCAAUAUAAAUUAUAAGAAAUUGACGGAAUAGUGACGGAAGCUUGAAGGAGAGAAGCUAAAUAUAUUAACUUAAAAUUCUGAGGAAGCUAAUAUAAAUUUUUAAAAAUUAGAAAAUAAAAAUAAAAAAUACGAAGUAUUUACAAGAAGAUUUUUUACAUUUUAAUCUUAUCUGAAAUCUUAUCCCUACUUACUCUCACAGUCUCUUAAAUUAAUAUAUAUAAUAUACUAUAGUAUAUAUAUAUAUGAGUGCGGCUAGUAUGUUAUGGAACGCAUGGAGGCCUCCGUGCUUCUAAGUUGUUUUUAAUAUUGGGACUUUCGAAUCGACGAUCGCUCGUUAGACUUGAUCUAGAGUAUUGAAGUACCUAGAAAAUAAGUUUUGCAAUUUUCGAUAUCAUUUGCCUAGCGAUCGAAGGCCUCAAAAUCAAUGGCUGAAAAAUAAAAAUCUCACAAAAUGUGAUGAUAUGACAUUAAAAAUUUAGAUCAAGAUAUUGAUCUUAUUUUAUAUAUAAAAAGAUUUUCUAAUUAAAAUUCACGUGAUUUGGAUAUUUCUACACCGUUAAACUUGUACCGGCUCACCACGGCCAUUAAAAUUUUUAAUUUGAGCCGCUCUCUCUCUCUUUCCUUUAUAUAUAUAUAUAUAUAUACACACAAUAUCACUGUACAUAUUUCCUUUAAUUUUCUUAAAUAUAAAUCUAUUUCAAUUUUCUUAAAAAAUAUUUAUUUAUUUUUAGUUAAAAUACAUGUAGGUUUAGUUUUGUAUUGAGUCUAUCUGAUAUUAUUAGAUAAAAUAGAGUUAGGAUAAAUGCAUACAGGAAAUAUACUUCUGCGUUUUCAGAUAAAAUAGUAGAAAUAUAUCGUAAAAGCACUCAUCGUGAUACGAAACUUAAUAUUAUAUACAAAAAUAAAUAAAUAUUUUUUUAUUGUAUUUUUUUAUUAGUGUCUUAACGACAUUUUUUCAGAAUCCCAUACAAUCCACAUACUGCAGGGGAUUGAUUAUUUUGUUGGAUUUCAUUGUCGUGGGUCUGUCUAGUCUGUGGCAAUCGAUGCGACAAGUACUUUUAACACAGCUUCUUAUCAUAUUCUAUUUAUUUAUAAAAAAAAUUUUUUUUUAGAGAAACUUCAAAACCCUCCGUUUUCAUAUUUCUCAAUUUAUUACCUUAUAGUUUUAAAGUGUACCAAUUUAUCUCCAUGUGGUUUUAUUUUUGUUUUUCGACAAUUUUCUUUUAAUAUGUUCAAAUUAUAUACAAAAAAUUUUAGAUACCUACUUAAUUUAUCUAAUAUUUAUUUAGUAAUCUUUAAUUUAACUUUCUCAUUGAUUUAAAAAAAAAGAAAAUAUGAUAAAAAAAACCAUAGGAAGGCAAAUUGAUACACAUUAAACAUAAGAUACUAAGUGAGAAAGUACGAAGCCACAUGAGAUUUUUGUAUUUUUUUUUAAAUAUAUAUAUAUAUAUAUAUAUAUAUUAUAUAUAUAUAUAUAAUAUGAAUAAAUUUAUAAUAAAUAUCUAACCGUACCGGCUAUAGCCGUAAAACCUACUCCCCUCACACACACGUACCAAAAAAAAAAAAAAAAAAAAAAAAAAAAAAAAAAAAACCAAAGCGAACCAAAUUGCGGGUGCCUCUCCGCCACCCAACACCCCCACCCGCCCCAACCAAAACUCGAAAACGAUCCAGAUCGCGUCCCACGCCCCACCGAAUGAGACUCCAUCCCCACCGUCCGAUCCAAUUCCCGUCCCCGUUGCGCGCCUAUAAAUAGGGCUCGGGAGACGCAGCAUGGAGAUCGAGCAAGAGCGGGGUCGACGACGAAGCCGAAGACGAAUUAAAGGGGAACGGGAGAGCUAGGGUUACGGUUUCAGGUAAUGAAAUUUUGGGGUGUUUUAAAUUAGUUUUUAUCGAUUUUGUUUGGAAUGGGAGUCGAUUUGGCUUUUAAAAUGGGAUCGGAGAGUGUUCCCGUGCUUUAGGGCUCAGAUCUAAGGAUUUGGAUCGAAACUUCGUGCUAUUUUAUGUGUAGAUCUGUGUGGAUCGAAACUUCGUGCUAUUUUUUUGUGUAGAUCUGGUUUCAUACUGUGAUUUAUGUGAUUUUUUUUUUUUUUUGAUGUUGCUUACUUUCGAUUAGAUCGAAAUGAGUGUUUAGUGGCUCCGUGACGCGUGUUUAGGGUUCGGAUCUGGAUGUUUUGUUCAAAGUUUUCCAUGUUCUAUUUGCUUUUGAAAAUCCUAGCUACUAGUGCUCGAUCUAAGCAUUUCUUAGCAUUGACGGCAAUGAUCGAGCAUCAGAUCUUGUAAAUUUGGUAGAAGAUUAAACUUACUACUAAUUCGUUAUGUAAAAAUCUUUCUUUUGUUCUAAUUCCUGCCCCUAAUUUUUCUCCAAAUUGCAAUGAUACAUCAUCUCUUCUUUUCCCCCCGUUUUCUAGUGUGAAAUGUAUGAAUUAUCCCUGUACUAUUCCACUAGUGAGACUUGGUCCCUGCACAGUAGUUUUUUGUCUCUAGUAGUGAAAAGAAAGUUUUUUUUUUUGUAAUACUAAAUGAUCAUUUUGUAUCUUCAUGUAUAUAAUAAUAAUGAUAAUAAUGAUUUGUUUAUUUCAGUUUAACUUCAAAUUGGAUUAUAAUGCAUUCUGUAGUAAAUAGAUCUUUUUAUAUGUAAAAAUUUUGGAAUUGAAGCAUUUGAGAAGCAUAAUUAAUGUAAAAAUUUAGGAACUGAAGUAUUUGAGAAGUAUAAUUAAUGUACAAAAAUUUAGGAAAUGAAGUGUUUGAGUGAAGAGUACAAGGAUCUAGUUACGAAUUCUGGAUAGAACAGUGACUACUUUAACAUCUUACCCUGUAAAUUAUCCAGUUGUGCUGAUCUACACAUUCAUUCAUUCAUUCAUUCCUGUUGCUUCAGGUUUUUUUUUUUUGAGAAUUAAAGCAAUGGAGGACACGUUUUUGUUCACAUCGGAGUCGGUGAACGAGGGCCACCCCGACAAACUAUGCGAUCAGAUCUCCGACGCUGUCCUGGACGCGUGCCUGGCGCAGGACCCCGACAGCAAGGUGGCCUGCGAGACCUGCACCAAGACCAACAUGGUCAUGGUCUUCGGCGAGAUCACCACCAAGGCGGACGUCGACUAUGAGAAGAUUGUCCGCGACACGUGCCGCGCGAUCGGGUUCACCUCCGACGACGUCGGCCUCGACGCCGACCGCUGCCGCGUCCUCGUCAACAUCGAGCAGCAGUCCCCCGACAUUGCCCAGGGGGUCCAUGGCCACUUCACCAAGCGCCCUGAGGAGAUUGGGGCCGGCGACCAGGGACACAUGUUUGGGUACGCCACUGACGAGACCCCCGAAUUUAUGCCCCUUAGCCACGUCCUCGCCACCAAGCUCGGCGCCCGCCUCACCGAGGUCCGCAAGAACGGCACCUGCUCCUGGCUUCGCCCCGACGGCAAGACCCAGGUGAGCAGAGUUCUUAAAAGUUUUGAUUUCACUAGCUAACCUUUCUAUAUAUUUUGCUGAUUUCAAUGCCUCGGCAUCAAGUUCUGUCAAAACUUAGUGAUUUGUGUUCCGAAAUUUGUAGAAGAUUCGGCCAAACAGAUCAAGAUUUGGUCAAAAAAGUUGCAAAUUCUGACUAAAAAUACUGAAAUAAAGAAAAUGGAUAGGUAGUUUCUGAAAAUUGGAAACUCUCGAGUUUAGGUCGAGAUUUGUACUAUUUUUGAUCUGUUUUAUAUUCAGUAUGGCUUCAUGUGUGUUAGUCUGAUUUAGACCAUCAGCCCGGAAAUAGUAUUUGGAAUCAAUAAAACGAUAUCAAAUGAUUAGAAGUUUGAAAAAGAUUCGAACUCUAGACCUCCUGAUUUGUUAUCAUCUGAAACAAUCAUUUUUUUUUUCUCGCUGUAAUCUUAAUCCAAGUAUUGAAUGGCGCUGUAUCGAUGAUUUGUAUUCUAAUCCAGGUCACCGUUGAGUACCGCAACGAUGGCGGCGCCAUGGUCCCCGUCCGUGUCCACACCGUGCUCAUCUCCACCCAGCACGACGAGACCGUCACCAACGACGAGAUUGCCGCCGACCUCAAGGAGCACGUCAUCAAGCCCGUGAUCCCGGAGAAGUACCUCGACGAGAAGACCAUCUUCCACCUCAACCCAUCGGGCCGCUUCGUCAUCGGCGGACCCCACGGCGAUGCAGGGCUCACCGGCCGCAAGAUCAUCAUCGACACCUAUGGCGGGUGGGGCGCCCACGGCGGCGGCGCCUUCUCGGGCAAGGACCCCACCAAGGUGGACAGGAGCGGGGCCUACAUCGUCCGCCAGGCCGCGAAGAGCAUCGUGGCCAAUGGGCUCGCGAGGCGGUGCCUGGUCCAGGUGUCGUACGCGAUCGGCGUGCCCGAGCCGCUCUCGGUGUUCGUGGACACCUACGGCACGGGGAAGAUCCCCGACAAGGAGAUCCUCAAGGUUGUGAAGGAGAGCUUCGACUUCAGGCCGGGGAUGAUCACCAUCAAUCUCGAUCUGAAGAGGGGCGGGAACGGCAGGUUCUUGAAGACGGCGGCCUACGGGCAUUUCGGGAGGGACGACCCCGACUUCACCUGGGAGGCGGUGAAGCCCCUCAAGUGGGAGAAGCCCGCGGCAUAAACAAGCAUUAUUCCGCUUCUUCGUCCCGUCGCCCGUCGUCCGUCGUAGCCUCAAUAACUGCUUGGAUUGCUAGUGCUUCCGCUAUUUAAAACUCCGUUCUUGUUCUUCGAUACGUGGUCUCAUCUCGUCGUCGCUGCCUCUAAAACCGAUUGUGGUUGAAUCAUAAGGGAGGGUUUGAAUUCUUUGUUGUUGUCUGAAAAAAAAAAAAGAAGAAAGAGAUUGGGGAAGAUGAAGGGGAAGAAGGAUUUGGAGGAUGUAAUGUUUGAGCAAUUUGAUUAAAUUAGUGAAAUGAAACUAUUGUUUGUCUCUGUUUCCUUCCAUUUAUCAUCUCCCCUCUUGUGUAGUGUAGUGUAGUGCUUGUACAGGCAAUCUCUGUUCCCUUACUUUCAUUUAUAAGCAGGUUAGUAUAUAGCAUGGGCCCUUUGCAUGCAAACAAAUCUUCAUGUCCAAAACAAGUAACAUGGGCCCUUUGCAUGCUCUACAGUUAUGGGCAUGCAUUCAAAGAGACUCACAUGGGGUAUAAUGUGACACUGAAUCCCUUCCAAUGAUAUUAUUAUUAUUAUUAUUAUUUGGGAAAACUUUAAAAAUCCCUCUGUGGUUUCGCACUUUUUCAUUUUAGUAUCCUGUGGUUUAAAGUAUAUCAAGUUAGUACUCUGUGGUUUCUCACUUUAUCACUUUAGUACCCUGUGUUUUAAAGUGUAUCAAGUUAGUACUCUAUGGUUUUAUUUUUGUAUCAAGUUAAUACCUUGUGGUUUUAUUUUUGUAUCAAGUUAGUACUCUGUGAUUUUUAAACCACAGAGUACUAAAGUGAUAAAGUGCGAAACCACAUGGUACUAACUUGAUACACUUUAAACCACAGGGUAUUAAAGUGAAAAAGUACAAAACCACGUGAUGUUAGCUUGAUACGCUUUAAACCACAGGGUACUAAAAUAAAAAAGUACGAAAUCAUAUGGUGGGUUUUUUAAGUUUUCCCUUAUUAUUUUAUUAAAAGACUGAUUUGAGUGUCUUUAUCCUCGGCCAUUCCCUCUUGACUCGUGCUGAUGAGAAUUUUAUUCCAAGAGAAAUACUUUUGAGUUUUUUGAAUUCUAUUUUUGUUUUAAGCAAUAACAUGUUCCUUUUUAAAAAAUUUUAAGGAAAUAAAAUAAUUUUUUAGAGCUCAAAUUGCAAUAAAAAGAAAAAUUGAGAUUGAGGCCCAAAGAUAAAAACUCUAAUUUAGCAUUUGUAACUCUACUAUAUAUAUAAAAAAAGAAUUAUGUGCCACCAGAUAUGUCCUCUACAAAUUGUAUAUUAUAGAAAGAAUUGCCAAAUAUUUGAUGAACAAAAUAUGAGAAGCUUUUGCUAUGAUUAGAACAGAAAAGUAGUUUCCAUGCUCCCUAAUUAUAGGCUCCAAUUGCUGUAGCAAGAGACCGCUUAUUAAGGUAAUUUUAAUUAGAAUUUUGUUAGGACUAUAACUGAACUUAAAUAUUUUGAGCCGAUAGUUUUGAGCCAAUGAAUUAUUCCUACUAGAAGGUCGGGUCGUUACAGAAUCAUCAAAGAGUACAAAGUUGCGAAUCAUCGUGUGUUUAAUGGUUUGUUUGGUGCUGCAGAGCAUCUUUUUCGUUUUCUUUUUUUGUAGAACCACAAAUACUAUAUCUUAACUUAUUGUGAUAUGCACAAAUAUCAUUUACAGAAAGAAAUGGAACAAAUGUAAUGUUUUUUAAUCCUACAUUCUCACUGUAUAUAAGGAGAUUAAAUGAGAUCAUGAGUCUGAUGAGGUUUUAUCAAGAGACCUCUUGCUUUAUUACCACAUGAAAAUAGUAUAAAACAAUAGUUUUUUUCAAGAACUUUAGUUUUCAAAAAAUACUUGCCUUUUAAUAAUUAUAUUCAGCAGAAUUUUCUAAAAAAUUUUAACCCCCUUUUGCGGUAAAGCUUAUUCUAGCAGCUUUACUAAACUAAUAUUUUUGAAGAAGCUCCAGCAAAAUCAAACAGAUUCUUAUUAAAUAUUAAAAAUGAAACUAGAUUGUCAUCCUUUUCCCAAGUCUAAUUGAAUCAUGACUUAAAAUCUAUCCCAAUCAUGAGUCUUAUCAUAGCAUUACUUUCCAUAAUUCAUGUUUCAAAAAUCCUUAACAUCCCAUCACUGUAAUAUCCACAAAAACUUGCUGGUGUUUUGGGGUGUGAUUAAUUACUUUCUCACUCUUAUCUUUCUUUCCUAUUUAGGAAGAGCCUUUUAUCUCUAAAAGUUGGUGGAAUGGAUUACACUAAUUUGUUUUUCCUAAUUAUCUUAACUUGUUGAUAAUUGAGUUAUAAAAUAAACAUUUUUAUAUUAGUAUCGCUGUGAUACCACUUGUAGAAAAUGAUAUUUGUACUUAUGCCAAUUUUUGUAACAAGUGAGCGGUACGAAAUGAUAUUUGCAAUGAUACUAGUUUUCGGAAGCAAUGAUUAUUAUAAUACUAGUUGUAGAACUCUUGUAGGAUAACUACUACAAUUUAUUCAAAAGUAAGGCUACAUGUAUGCGAUAGUAUUUAAUUUUCUAAUAAAUUGUUGAUGUAUUGGUACCGAUAUUAUAGAGUAUUAUUGCUUUAGAUAAGGACAGCAAAUAAAUAUUUUGCUGAUUGUUUUUCCAAUAAAGAAAUAAUUGCUUGAUUCAUUUUUCAUAAAAUUAAGAAAAAAAAACCUUUUCUAGAAAAAUUAUUUUUUUUGAAAAGCAAACAAAUGAAAAAUAUCAUACACUCCCUUGGGAGUGAAAAUUGAUUAUUGUAACUAUAUAAUUACAAUAACAACAUGUGAUAGCAAUUACUACAUCUACAAGUAUUUUAUUCAAGGGUAAAAUUUUGUUAGUAUAUUCUUUUUGCAUGAUUGAGAGUUAUGAUUAAUAAAUAUUGAGUUAGAUGGUUGGUUAAAAUGAAUUAAUAUUUUUAUUGAACUUAAAGAAAAAAAAAAAAGCACAAACUUGUGGGAAAUGACAACUUAGUUGACUUGGAAUUAAGUAAUAUAUAUUUGGUAAGCUGGAUUGGUGAAUGUAAUGCAUUAGCAUCUCCUUCUGAUGAUCCCCCCGCCCCCCCCCCCCCCCGCCCCCCCCCCCCCAAAAAAAGGAAAAAAAAUAUUAUUACUCAAUCUAUAAAAAUGUUUGCAUAUUUAUACACCACAUAAAACAAGAUAUAAUAAGAAAAAAAAAAUUGAAUGCAAAAAAAUUAGCACAUGUGACAUUAGACAAAGUCAAACUUCUAGAAGCUUCAAUGGCAUCUAGAUCAGAGAUGUCACGGGUCGGAUUCGGGGUGGGUUUUUAAAAACCCGAAUCCGAACCGACUCCAAACUGAGACCCGAAUCGAACUUGAACCUAAACCGACGGAUUUUAAAAAUCCAUAUCCAAACCCGAACGCGACAAAAAAUCCGAAACCGAACCGACCGAACCGAAAUUUGAACCGAAAUAAUUAUUCUUUUUUCAAUAUGCAAAAUAUAUUAUAUUAAAUCUAAAUUUUUAAAAUACAAAUUUAAUAUAACAUCAAUUAUAUUAUAUAUAUAUAUAUAAUAUAUAUAUAUAUAUUAUAUAUAUAUUAAUUAAUAUAUAUAUAAUACAAAAUAAAUUCGGGUUCGGGUUCGGGUCGGGUACAAUCAAAAUCCAUAUCCGAAUCCAUAUCCGUCGGGUUUCUAUUUUUGAUAUUCAUAUCUGAAUCCAUAUCCAUAUCCAUCGGAUAUAUCCGUUUCAUUUGGGUUCGGGUUCGGAUAAAAUUUUGGGUAUCCAUAUCCAUUGACAUUCCUAAUCUAGAUUUAGAGAUUUUCAAAAAAAUAAAUGUAAAAAUGUAUGAAGAGCACCUCAACUUUAGGCUAUUUUGAAAUAGGGCACUCAACUUUACCUAAUUUAAAAAAAAAAAUAAAAAGAAGGCAUUGAUUAGAAAAGAUAAACUUGUCAAAUCAUUAAUAUCCCAAUGAUAAAGACAAAAAUUUUAUAGACACCGUGCCCAAACAAUUUGUUUGGGCACGGUGCCCAGCAUCCGCACCCUCAAAAAAAAAAAAAAAAUUGGUGGGCUCGGUUUUUAGAAAGAGAGAGAAAGAAAGGGGGGAGGGAGGGUGCGGAUGGGCGCCGCUGCACACGCGGCGUCCAUCUGGGCACCGUGCCCAAACAAAUUGUUUAGGCACGGUGCCUAUAAAAUUUUUGUCCCAAUGAUAAGGCAUUGAGUAGGAAUCAAGACGUAUUAGUUUGGUUCCUAGAAAAAGUACAUUAAAAAGGUUUUUAAGAAAAAUAAAAAAAUUUUCAUUUUUUUUUUUUUGGGUAGUUUUUCAUCCUUUUGGUUACAAAAAAAAUUAGUUAUUUUUUUGAAAUCUUUUUUUUUUUUUUCAAAAUUCAUAAAAAACUAGCAUUUUUGUUUUCCUAAAUGAAAAUUCGAAAACGAAAAUAUUAUUUUUUCAUAAAAUUUGGAAAAAAAAAGUUUUCCAAGAAAGUUAAUUUCUCUUGGAACCAAAUAGACGAAAAACUGUAAAAAAAAAUUUUCUAUAUAAAAAAAAAAAAUUUUCAAAAUUUUUUUUGAUAAUUUUUCUGGAAACCAAACAAGUCCAAAGCGUCAGGAGUCCAGUUCCUCCUAAAAAAGAAAAAAAGAGAUAAAGUUAAGGGGCCUAAUUCAAAAAAUGGCUAUAGUUGAGGGGUUCUUGAUACAUUUUUACCAUAAAAUAAAAGAAAUUUAGUUGUAUCAAGGGAUCUUGUCCAUUCACAUGCUCUACCUAAUUAGGCAUAGUUAACAAGAAUUUAAAAAAUAGAGUAGAAGUCAACUGGGACUUCACUAACCAUUCAAAUAAUUAACACCAUUUACAAAUAUUUUACUCCAAAAAAAAUAUUCAUAAAUGAAAAAAAUAAAGUAAUCAAAGCAUUUAACAACAUGAGAGUUAACCAUUACGCAACUCUUAUUAUAAUCAUUGUGUUCCAAAUACAUUGAAACUCUCAUCGAAAGAUCUAUCACAACAUAAGUUUUUAGUCGUACAGAAGGUAAUUCAUAUUAUCAGAACACUUUUUGUUAUUCAUAAUAUAAUGUAUCUGCUUUGUCAGUAUUAAAAAGAUAUGUUAUAAUAUCAUCACGCAUACGCACGAUUAGAAUUUUGGCUUAAGAUGGAGGUCAAACUAAUUGGUGCGGAACUUAAUCUUUGCAAAUAAAAUAGCUUCUGCGAUGUCGGGAACUUGUUGUUUAUUGCUUCUCCAUCAAGCAGAUGUGUGUCUUAAACCGAAAGAUUCAACGCCGAGCAGCAUAUUAUCUCAUGGUCGAUGACGCAGUGCCUUUCGUCAGAAAGAAGGAUUGAGAAUGAGAAUGUUUUAUAUGCGCCAACCAUCUAACUGUUUGAUUUGCUGAGAAGCUGAAAGUUAUUCUGAAAAGAAUGGCUCACAUAGGAAGCAGAAAUGAGCCUGAAUCCUUUACCGUCGAGCUGGAGGAAGCGAGGAGGAGCAUGGAGUCAUCAUUUCGAGCCGCUGCUGCGAGCUUCAGGAGAAGCUUCAGCAGUGCCAGAAGGGAGGGUGAUGAUGAUGACGAAUACGAGCUGAAAUGGGCGGCGAUCGAACGGCUAGACACCCUCGACAGACUAAGGACGUCGUUGUUUGAUCAUCCGAUAGAUGCAAUAGAUGGCGAUGGAGAAAAAAAGGAGAAGAGAGCGACCGACGUUACCAAGUUAGGAGCCCUGGAACGGCGGUUGUUCAUCGAGAAUCUCAUCAAGCACAUCGAGAACGACAACCUCCGGUUGCUGCAGAAGCAAAGAGAAAGAAUUGACAGGUCAAAAUCGGAUCGCAAACUCUCGUUUUUACGAGGAAUUGGAAAUAAUUUUCAUGGUGGUUUUCUGCAGAGUGAAUGUACAAUUGCCGACAAUAGAGGUGCGAUACGAAAACCUGUGUGUCGAAGCCGAUUGUGAGGUAGUUCAGGGGAAGCCCCUACCCACCCUAUGGAACACUGCCCAAAGUGCUGUUUUGGUAAGCAGAUACUUGCAUAGCUCAUUGAUAAGUAGAGAUAUAGAUGUGGAGAUUCUAAAGGCAUGCACAAGUUCAUUCAUUAUACUAAUCAGAUAGAGCUUUUAAAGAUUCUGGAAAGCACAAGCUGAAAAGCGAAGAACUAUUUUAGAAGUGUCAUUCAGGCCAAUCUUUUAACUAGGAUCAUAUUUAUAUGUAAUGAAACUAAUGCGAGUUUUCAUGGAGCAGGAUCUUUUCAGAAUGACGGGCUUAAAUCGUCAAGAAGCCAAAAUCAGAAUACUGAAAGAUGUCACUGGAAUCAUCAAGCCAUCGAGGUAAGCACUUCUGGUUAAAGAUUUGGAUUUUAUCUUCAGUUCUAAUAAGCUUUAGCUAUCAUCAAUUUAUUUUGUCAAAAGCCAUGCUUAUUGCAAAAUCAAAUUAUUAGCAGGGUUUUAUCACUAAGUGUAGGUAUUUUUAAAACUCAUUGCAGGAUUACUCUUUUACUAGGACCUCCGGGCUGCGGGAAGACCACACUCUUGCUUGCGCUUAGCGGAAAACUAGACAAAUCUCUCAAGGUAUGUAAAUUGAAUACAAAUACUAAAAACGCCGUUCUCCAGUAGCUAAAGCUUUUGGCAAACAAUGACUGUUUCACAUGUUUUAACAUGGUAUAAAAAACAUGAGGUCUUGAGUUCGAGUCCCACUCCUUGCUUUAUUGAAUUUCCUCCGAUUUAAUUCAGUUUUAUGGCUGGGGCAUAUCUAAAAGUCUCGAACUCAAACGUGAGGAGUGUUGAAUAUAAAUAUUAGAAACACUAUCAUCUGGUAGCUUAAACUUUUGGAGAACGACAACACAAUACGUAAAAAGUUGGGUGAACUUGUAAUUCCUUUAUAAGUUGUUCAUGCGAGAGACAUCACUUAUAGUCCUUCAAAAAGCUAGAAGAUCACAAGAAUUAGCAAAUUCCCUGACACUAAAACCUUGUAAUCAUUCAGGUAUCAUCACAACAUUGUUUUAAUCAGAUUAUAAUGCAACCACACAACUAUUAAAGCAAUCUUCUAUUAUCGUAGUAGUUUCUGCAAAUGAUUUUCAGCAUAAAAGGUUAGAGAGUUUCAAUACUUGAUCACUCAUUGUGAAGAUUUUGAUGUAGGUAACUGGAGAAAUUCAUUACAAUGGAUUCAGAUUGGACGAGUUCGUACCUGAGAAAACAUCAGCUUACAUAAGUCAAUAUGACCUGCAUAUACCUGAGAUGACGGUAAGGGAGACAUUGGACUUCUCUGCGAGAUUCCAAGGUGUUGGUAGCAGAGCAGGUAGGAACACACCACACAUCUGUUCAAAGCUGUAUUGCGGCUGUUAAUUAGUAUCUAUUCAAGCGAGUUACUGAGAAUUUGUGAUUGCAAACCUUAUGAAGAAAUUAUGAAGGAAGUGAUUCGAAGGGAGAAGGAGGCUGGAAUUGUUCCGGAUCCUGACAUAGACACCUACAUGAAGGUUAUAUCAUUUCUUCUAUUCUUUACUAUUUUCCUAAUUUAACGAAGGUUCUUGCACUUCACAAUCAUAAGAAACAUCAGAUUCAUAAACCAGAGCGACCAAAAAGCAAGCAUACAUGGUCUACCGAUAUCUCGAGGAUACAUAAGUAAAAGCUCCAUUUUAAAAUUGUUUGCUAGAAUAAGGAUUUAAGUGCCGUGGCACAGAUACGUAUUGAGCACGGUAUGGCACGAUGCGUUUUGUGCUGUGCCGAUGCGUGCCGGACACAAAAGUGAAUGUUGAGCUGUGCCGUCAGCAUGGAGGUUAUAUCAUGCUAAUAUCUUGUUGGCACUGCAUGAUACAAUGGGCACAGCCCGUAUCGAUGGACAUUUAACACUUUAGCUAGAACACAAUAGUUUACAGUUUACAUUCAUCAAACAAGCACAAACCUGCAUGUUUACCAAUAUCUUGAGGAUUGAAUUCAUUAUGACAGGCAAUAUCUGUGGAAGGACUAGAAAGAAGUCUACAAACAGAGUAUGUAAUGAAGGUAAUUUUCUGAGGGUUGCAAGAACUGACCUAAUGAAUGCAUCAAAUAAUGCUUUUAUCCUUACAUCAAUAACUGUGCUUAUUUAUUAGAUCAUGGGGCUAGAUAUAUGCGCGGACACAAUGAUAGGGGAUGCCAUGAGAAGAGGCAUUUCAGGUGGUGAGAAGAAAAGAUUAACCACAGGUACUUUGAAAUAACUGCACACAUCAAGGUUACAUGAUUUCUUUGUACUUUAGGCGAAUUUUCAACUUUAAGGACCAAAUUGCCGACAAUAAAAUGGCCGCAAUGCACGGAUUUGAAGAUCGAUUCACUGUUCGGAUUCUGAACCACAGUUGCAUACUUUUGAAAUCGUGUGCUGUGGGUCAAGUAGUUGAUGCACUGUUUGGUCCUAAAAGUUGCAAAGCAGGCUAAAGUCGCAAAAAGAAAAAAGAAAAAAGCAUCAUGAUUUGCAAGUGCAACAGUAACUUACAGAAAAUUCCAUUUCCCUUAAGGUGAGCUCAAAUUCCAAUCAUCAAGCUUACUUGGCAAGUUAUUAAGCAUUCGAUCAUUCGUUUUUGGUAGGCGAGAUGAUUGUAGGACCAACAAAAGCACUUUUCAUGGAUGAAAUAUCAACCGGCUUGGACAGCUCUACUACCUUUCAAAUUGUCUCUUGCCUUCGACAAUUGACUCACAUCACGGAAUCCACUGUGCUGGUUUCACUUCUUCAGCCUGCACCGGAGACUUAUGACCUUUUCGACGACGUGAUCUUAAUGGCAGAAGGGAAGAUUGUAUAUCACGGGCCUCGAACUGAUAUUUUGAACUACUUUGAGGUUUGCGGUUUCAAAUGCCCGGAAAGAAAAGGAGCGGCCGACUUUCUCCAAGAGGUGUUUACAAAUUCAGUUUUGCAGAUUAGCCCUUAAAAUUCACUCCAAAUAUCUAAUUCUGAUAUUGUUCAGGUAUUGUCCAGAAAAGAUCAAAAGCAGUAUUGGAACCGGCCAGACGAAAACUACGGUUACGUUACCGUCGACCAAUUUUGUGAAAAAUUCAAGGGACAUCAAGCUGGACAAAGUCUAACUGAAGAGCUAUCAAAACCUUAUGACAAGUCCAAAUGCCCUAAAAAUUCUCUUUCCUUCAGUAUCUAUUCCCUAUCAAAAUGGGAGCUACUUAAAGCCUGUGUGGCCCGAGAAGUACUACUAAUGAAGAGAAACUCAUUCAUCUACAUAUUCAAGGCAGUUCAGGUAGAUCCCUACACAUUUUUUCACUCCGUAUUUCUUGCAGUGAUGAAGUUAAUGGACAAAAUGAUUGACUACUUGUUUAUUGCAGCUCGGGAUUCUUGCGAUGAUUACAGGAACUGUGUUUCUACGUACGCAUAUGGGGGUUGAUACACUUCAUUCGAAUUAUUAUAUGGGCUCACUCUUCUACGCGCUUCUUUUACUAAUGGUAAACGGUUUCCCGGAACUAGCCAUGACAGUUUCUAGACUCCCGGUCUUUUACAAGCAAAGAGACUUCUACUUCUAUCCGGCUUGGGCUUAUGCUAUUCCGGCUACAAUUCUAAAAAUUCCGGUUUCUAUAGUGGAGUCGAUCAUUUGGACGUCGAUUACUUACUACUUAAUUGGCUAUAGUCCACAAGCAUCAAGGUUCUUCCGCCAACUUCUACUGCUGUUCUUUGUCCAUGUUAUGUCACUGUCCCUUUUCCGGGUUGUAGCCUCAUACUUUCAGACUGUGGUGGCAUCCACACUCGGCGGUACCUUCGCUUUGCUAUUGAUCCUCCUAUUUGGGGGCUUCCUUCUCCCACGACGUAAGCGACUUGUUAGUUUUAGACAUUUUAUUUGCUACAGAAAGUUAACAUACUAUAUAACACGCGCUUUUCCUUUUGCAGCCUCUAUACCAAGUUGGUUAAAAUGGGGAUUCUGGACUUCGCCAUUGACAUACACCGAAAUAGGCUUAGCUGUAAAUGAGUUUCUAGCGCCACGAUGGCAAAAGGUGAAUUUGACACUCUCUAUCUUCCAUCGAGUGCUUAUUUGGCCCGACUUCUGGUGUAGCUUCUUUUCUUCAGAAAGUAGGAGGUUUUUAGGAACCGGGCGUUUGAUUGCCCAAGAAGCCCCAAUUUGGCUCUUUCAAUCUACUGUAGCAAAAAAAUGUAAAACAAGAUUCAAAUGAAAGAGCUAUUAUUGCUUCUUCUAACAGCUCUACUUAAAGCCGGCAAAGCUGACCCUAAAAGAACAAAAGUAGUCUAAUUAUUCCUUAUCUUCCAAUAAUCUUCUGUUUUGCAGUUGUUACCGUCGAACAUAACCAUCGGAAAACAAGUACUGAUAACCCGAGGGCUCAACUACAGCGGCUACUAUUACUGGAUAGCGAUCGGAGCAUUAUUUGGAUUUGUUGUGUUGUUCAACAUAGGAUUUACUCUCUCCUUAACUUUCAAAAGACGUAAGUUUUCUUCUGAGAAAUCUAUAUAUCACUCAGAUACAAACACACAGUACGGCUUUCCAACACGUAAAUUUUAUGUCUCAGCUCUCGGAGCUUCGCGGGCUAUCAUCUCUCGAGAAAAGCUUUCUCAACUACAAGGAAAAGAUGUCGGCACGAAAAAACACUCUACGGAUAAUACCACCAACUUAUCCACAACAAGAUCAACAGAACCUAAAACAACUGGUCAGAAAACUCUGUCCUGACUCCUGAGUUCCAAAAAUAAAAAAGAAAAAGAGGAUUUUACCUAAUAAUAUUGUGGUUGUUCGUGUAGGAAAAAUGGUCUUGCCUUUUAUUCCCCUCACAGUAGCAUUCAAGGAUGUGAACUACUAUGUUGAUACUCCUGCAGUAAGUAUACUUAAAAGUGAUAAUACACAUAUAUGAUUGGAUGAAUACCCCGCAAAAUUUACCUUUUUACAUUUAUCACUGCAAAAUAUGAACCUUAAUAUAUGCUCUUCAGAAACUCAGUUUCUUACAUAUAUACCCUUUUACUUGCUAAAAUGUCCCUCAAACAAAAAUUGUUCGAAGAAAUAUUAACUUGUGAGAAACAGUACUUUUACAUAGAUGAUUUUGUGUAGCUCAUAACAGUGUCAUACACUUCUCAAAUCGGUGGUAAGUUCGCGUGAUAAGAAGCAAUAUUUUAUUUUGCAGGAAAUGAGAGAACAAGGCUUUACAGAAAAAAGGCUCCAACUGCUACAUAACAUAACAGGUGCUUUCCAGCCGGGAGUGCUUACGGCAUUAAUGGGCGUGACCGGGGCUGGGAAAACCACGCUGUUGGAUGUUCUUUCCGGUAGAAAAACCGGCGGGGUUAUCGAAGGAGACAUAAGAAUUGGAGGAUAUCCUAAGGUACAGAAAACUUUUGCGAGAAUUUCUGGUUACUGUGAACAGACCGAUAUACACUCGCCACAAAUUACAGUCGAAGAAUCCGUAGCCUAUUCAGCUUGGCUGCGACUCCCGCCAGAAAUCGACUCAAAAACAAGACACGUGAGUAAUCUCAGAAAAAGAGACUAAGUUCAGUGCAUCAAAUAUAUGAUAAUCUCAGUUAUUAUCUCAGUGAUCAAUGGUGUAGUGAACCCCAAUAAAGUACGCUAACUGCUACAUUGUGAUUACCAGGAAUUCGUCAAUGAAGUCCUUGAGACGAUUGAGCUUGAUGGAAUCAGAGACGCAUUGGUCGGGCUACCGGGGAUUAAUGGUCUGUCCACAGAGCAAAGGAAGAGACUAACGAUCGCAGUCGAGCUCGUUUCUAAUCCGUCGGUCAUCUUUAUGGAUGAACCGACAUCAGGUCUAGAUGCGAGGGCGGCCGCCAUCGUUAUGCGUGCGGUGAAAAAUGUUGCUGAAACGGGAAGGACGGUGGUCUGCACCAUCCACCAACCGAGCAUCGACAUAUUCGAAGCAUUUGAUGAGGUAAUACAAAGAAAUUGUUCUUCAAUGAACGGAGAUAAACUACCGAAGAGAAGCAAAAUUAGGAUCUACCUAACUAAAUAUAUAAUCUUCGAUAUAUCUGGUUAAGCUUUUAUCAUGAAAGAACUUCUAAUGAAAUGCCUAAAUUCGAUUUUCUUGCAGCUGAUUUUAAUGAAAAGAGGAGGAGAACUGAUCUACGCCGGACCACUAGGUCGGCAUUCGUGUAAAGUGAUUGAAUAUUUUGAGGUGAAGUCUCUAACAAGUAUGAGUGCCUUUUCCAUUCUAAUCAGACAAUAGUAACUAAUCCUAUGGGAGAAAAGUGUAGAACGAUCCAAAUUCAUCAAAGCAAAAUUAGUUGAAAACACUUAUCAGAUAAUAUAAACUGAGACGCAGAAAAUCGAUGACAACUUGAGAGAAACUUUACCAGAAAAUAGGUGUCUCCCGGAGCAGCUUUUGGUACUUAAUAGAAGAUUCCUGUUACUUUAAACGGAGAGCAACUUCAAAACAUCAGGCGUUUGGAGCCGUCGUCAGAAAAUGCGCUUAAAAAUUCAGUUGUUAACCUCGAAGAACAUAGUCUAGCUACAAACUGUAUUAUCUGAAAAAAAAAAUCAGUGUUAUAAUCAAGCAAAUUAUGUCUACUAGAAUGAAAAUUAGUGAAAGAACACAAUGACAGUUUGGAGGUUUAGUAGAAAUAACACCUACAAAUAAUAAGAUAAUCGUGAAGAAAUAUUAUAAAAUACGAACGCAAAAAAGGGGGAAAAAAGGGAAAGGGAAGCAUUCAUGUCAGAUUAUGCCUUUGCAUCCAAAUUAUUUGUUCUUCACUGAUUAAAGUAAGCCGGAGGGCCAAAUUGAAAAUUGGAACCAUAAUCCAAGCCUGCACAAUUGUUACAAACAAUGUUCAUAAAGAUUACUUCACUAUGAACAAUACUCAGAAAAGUAGCUUUACUGUCUUUUAUUUUGCAGGGAAUCUCUGGAGUGCCGAAAAUCAGAAAUAGUUACAAUCCCGCGACUUGGAUGCUGGAUGUUACCACUACAUCAUUCGAGAAUCAACUGGGAGUAGAUUUUGCAAAAAUUUAUAAGGAAUCAUCUCUUUACAAGUGAGUGCUAUCACAAUCAUAAUGCUUUUAGUUUCCAUAACAAGUUUUCUCUGUAGGUAUACAAGCGCGCGCCACAAAUACAAUAUAUAAUAAUAAAUGUAUUGCGAUGCAUGUUGCAAACAACUUUCUAACUGCAGAGAAAAUAUGGCUCUGGUCGAGCGGUUAAGCAUGCCAUCAGCAGAUUCAAAGCAACUAAGUUUUCCAACGCGCUUUGCUCAAAAUUUCUGGGUACAGUUCAAAGCUUGCUUGUGGAAGCAAUAUUUGUCAUACUGGAGAAGCCCUUCGUACAACUCAGUGCGGAUAACAUUUGUACUCGUGUCCUCGAUAGUAUUUGCAGUGUUGUUCCAGAAUCACGCAAAUAACAUGUAAGUUCUCACCUAUUUCAAGCAUUAAGUUCUCACAUUUGAACUUAAACAGCGCAACUUUAUGCCUAAGAUCACAUUUUAUGAGAAUGUGGUCUGAAACUGACUAAAAAGCUCUCUCCUUAGACCAACUAUCAAGAUUUUCGUCAGCCUAAAAGCUCCAAAGCAAGCAGGCAUGUCGACGGCAAGAAAUGCACCACAAUCAAUCGAAUUUGUAGUAACUCUUUAAAUUUCGGUUUCUGCAAAUCAUUUAGCCCCAAAAUGUAUGCACAACUGAAAAAACAUCGACAGAAACAGAAGAAUGAAAGAAAAGAAAUUUCAUAUGUUUGAAGUAGGGCAUUUAACAAUUCACUACAAAUUCUCAAGCAUAAAACCCUCUAUGUUUAUGGUUCUAGCAAUUCCACGACACAUUUCUGUUUGCAGAAAUAACCAGCAAGAUUUGUUCAAUAUCUUGGGGUAUAUGUAUGCUGGCACUAUCUUCACCGGCAUAAACUGCUGUUCAUCUGUCAUACCUUUCGUCGCAAUUGAGCGCACUGUUGUAUACAGAGAAAAUUUUGCGGGAAUGUACUCUCCGUGGGCAUAUUCAUUUGCGCAGGUUCGAUAAUGUCAACGUUACUAUUUCUACAUGAAAAACUUGCAUUAGCUACAAAUCUAGUCCUCAAGUUUACCUCAAUUUCAACUACAUCAAUCAAGAAUGAAACUUCAGGAACUAAAUUUGAAAACUAAUUGAAGAAGUAUUAUUUCCUAAAUGCUGAUAAUCGCAGUAGUAUUUUUCUCAAUGCCUUCUCCAGGUGGUCAUCGAGUUCCCUUACGUAUUCGGGCUCGUAGUCCUGUUCAUGAUCAUCACAUAUCCAGCUAUCGGGUUCACGUGGACAGCGUCCAAGUUCUUGUGGUUCUUUUACAUCAUGUUCUGCACACUGCUCUACUUCAUUUACCUCGGAAUGAUGCUGACGUCGUUAACGCCAAAUGUACAAGUGGCCUCCAUAUUAGCAUCCGUCUUCUACACCUUACUGAACCUCUUCUCAGGCUUCAUUGUACCGAGACCCGUAAGUAUCCAAUUCACCAUCUCUCACUUAAAAAAAGAAAAAAACACGAAAACAAACUAGAGACAUUUACAUAAACAUAUGUUGAGGUAAAGAGAUGGUUAUGUACAUAUGAAGGGAAUAUGCGACAAGCCAAAUUUUAUGUUGGUACAUAUUUGCUUUGAUCCAUCCAUGCAGGAAAUUCCAAAGUGGUGGAUUUGGCUAUAUUACAUCUGCCCCACAUCGUGGACGCUGGACGGCCUCUUCUCCUCGCAGUACGGAGAUGUCGACAAAGAGGUUACGGUGUUCGAAGAAACACAACUGAUAUCUUCAUUCAUAGAAAGCUACUUCGAAUUCCACCACGACCGUUUGUGGUCGGUGGCCAUUGUUCUCCUUGCCUUCCCCUUAGUCUUUGCUACUCUCUUCGCUUAUUUCAUCGGAAAACUCAAUUUCCAGAGGAGAUGAAGCGGGGGAAGUAUUUCAAUUUGCGAUUGUAAAGUUUAAGUAAUACCUACAAUUUGAAGACUUACAGAAAAGAUGUACAAUUUGGAAUACAGGGAGUGCUUUUCUCUUUCUACACAACACAAUGUGCAUCUUUUGCUGAUUAAGAGAAUAACAUUCUACUAUGAAGUGUCAAACUAAGCAAAAGUUUGAAUGAAUGAUUAUGGAAAAUUAUCAAAAGUUACUAUUGUGAACAGUUCAAUUCUCUCAAAGAUGAAGAAGAGAAUAUACUCUGUAUUAACUGAUAGCAAAGUGAAACUUAACUUUGCCAUUUCAUUUAUAUGACUUGAGGCGAUUUUGAUUAGAAUGGUUCCUUUUCAAAACCUUUCAGGCACUUCCAACUAUCUUAGAGUUUGUUUGACACUGCUAUAGGAUAUAGUGUUGUUUGAUGAAGUGCUGUGCAAGCAGUGCUUUUAGAAAAGAGAAACUCUGCCUUAAGACUACCUUCGCCAUAUCAUAUAUGAUUAUCUUUCAAAACUAUUCAGACACUUCCUACUAUCUUCGGGUCCAUUUGGUGCUGCUGUAGGAUGUAAUGCUGUUUGAUGAACUGUUGUGUGAAUAGUGCUUUCAGAAAGAACUCUACAGCAAAAUUAGGAGCAUUAAAUUAGAGCUUCUGCUUUUGAGCAUCAAAAUCUCAUUUUCUAAUUCCUACUGCAAUGAUAGUAUCAAACUACUCUGUUUCGCUAAAAUGCUCUACUGAAUAUGACUAUUGCUUAAAGCAGAAGCAGAAGUGAGGCCAAACAGACACUUAGAUUUAUUAUACUCUAAUAACAUAUUGCAUACAAAAUUAUUAACAUUUUCAUCCUCACAAUGUUCCUAAUAUCAAACAUUUAGCAUUUUCAACAAGAAAAUAAGCCUAAAAUUGCUGUAAAAAAAAAAAAAAAAAAAACUUUUCUGUAACUAGCCAUGUUAAAAGGAAUGAAAGAAACAAUUUUGCCAGAUCAAAAAAGGAAAAAGAAAAAGAAAAAUUGAGUGAAGAGAUCAUACACGAAUCAAAAUCCAUACUUAAUGGAGAAUCCAAUGUGGGUCUCCGAAGAGAUCGAACUGGGGAGGCGGAGAGAGUUGGGGUUCGGAGUUAGGGUUAGGGCACCCAAAAGAUAAAAAAAAAAAGAGGCGGGAAUAUGUAGGUUUGUUUAGUUGGAAAAAGAUACUAUUUUGUGAUAAAUUUCCUUGCAGGGGGUUUUAUGUAAAAAUGCUCGGCGACUCAAGAGUGUAGUGUUGUUGGAUAAAGUAUGCGAUAGAACUAGUGAUUUUAAAAAAAAAGUAUUAUAUAAAAAAAAUUUGAAUAAAUUUUCUUCGUGGCAAAAGUCGAUGCGAUAUUGAAAUAUUAAUAUACCUGAAAUUUGAAGUGAUAUAUAAUGGGUUGAAACAGACAGAAACUUUAAUGUGAAAUUUUAUGGAUAGAUUCGCCGAAAAGAUGCUAAUGUGUGUUUUUCAAAAAGCUCUACUGUGAUAUCACUUCUGUAAUAUCUUUUGUGGGCGCGAACAAAUCCUUAACUAAUUGGGCUUACUGGCCAUUACCCAAGCUCACUUAUAUGGCCUUUGUUAGCAACAUUAACAAAGAGUAUGUUUCUGAUAAACGCAAUAUCAACUUUAUUGAAUCUAGUCAAAUCCGCGCACUAAAUGGUGGUCAUAUUCAACAAAUCUAUGCAUCAAAUUCAAAAUAGUCUUUUGAAAAUGGUAUUGUGGUCCAUAGAAAUUGAUCAAAAAAAGAAAUAACUUAUCUAUGGGGAAUUAGAUAGAGUGAGCUCAUCACUUUCCAUGAUCUCUAUCAUGGAGGAUUAACUACAUUCUCCUAAUAGCAUGAAUUAUUUAAUCCCCAUCUAAACCUUUUUCUUAUUCUCUUCUUUUAUAAAGAGAGUCUCCACCCCUACAUAGUCUAAGGUGUAGUGUAGUUCCUUUUAUUCUUAUCUACACCUCACAUCACUUUUUUUUGUACUUAAAUUAUUCUCCCCAAUCUCUACCAAUUUGCAUGCAUGCAUGCAUGCAUAUAUCCAUUCCUACUUACUUUUUUUAUUUUAUUUUAUUAUUAUUUUUUUUUUGUGUGUGUGCCUAUGGAUGCAUCUUUGACAUAUGUGGCUCUAAAUACUUUUUGAAGCCUUACUCACUAAGCUAUAGAUGUUUCAAUUUCACUCUCACUUGUCUAGAUAAAUUAACUUGAUUUUUGAUUCUUGUAUUUAUAAUUAAGUUUUUAAAAUUAUUAUAUAUAACUCAUAUUUAUGCCAAUAACAAUUGCCAAGUGUUAGAGUAAAUAUUGCCGCAUCACUAUUAUAUCAUAUCAAUGGUUCAACAUUACAUAUUCAAAAUUCUGUCACACAUUUAUCUUGAGAUGUUUCGAUGGACUGCAAACGGUUUUUUUUUUUUUUUUGAGAGAGAGAUAGGUAGCACGCUACCCGCUUCACUUAUUUCAUUUAAAAAUAAACUUAGCUAGAAAUAUGAAUCAACUAGGGUUCGAACUUGGGACCUCGGGUACCAACCACCAAGCCCUUUGCCACUUGCUUUAGGGACAAUCGGUUGCAAAUGGUUUAUUGGCUUAAAAAGACUUGGGAUAAGAAAAUAAAACUUGGAAUGUACUGACAUAUAUAGUGAGUGCUUAGGACUGAUUCAGAUAUUAUAUUACUCAAAAAAUUAUCCAAUAGGAAAUUGUCCACCAAUAAUCUUAAAAAACAUUUUGGUUUAAAUUUUAUUUUCUUGUUUGAACAAAAAAAAUCUUUUUUUUUCUCUGUCUUUUUUUCUUUACCUAAUAAAUUGUUUUUUUUAAAAAAAAUAUCUUAUCUUGAUUCUUGUCUUAGUCAUAGUUCCAAUAAACUUGAUACCAUAUAAAAGAGGUUUCAAUAAAGUGAUCAUCUUUAAUUCAUUUUUUUUCUUUUUUGAUAUUUAAUGUAAUCAAUUCAAAUGGACACGAUUCCCUUAUUUAUGCGUGCAUGACCAAAUAGAAGAGAUAUAUUUAAUUAAUUAUUAAAUCAUCCUCAAAAGAAAAAAAAUGAAUUAAAGAUGAUCACUUUAUUGAAACCUCUUUUAUAUGGUAUCAAGUUUAUUGGAACUAUGACUAAGACAAGAAUCAAGAUANUGUAAUCAAUUCAAAUGGACACGAUUCCCUUAUUUAUGCGUGCAUGACCAAAUAGAAGAGAUAUAUUUAAUUAAUUAUUAAAUCAUCCUCAAAAGUUUUAAUUUAAUUUAUCCUCAAGAUUUUAGUAAUUUUCCUUUCAAAUUAAAUGGCAGGUUCAUGAUUUCUAAUUUAAAAAUCCAAGCUAGAAAAAAAAAAAAGACUUUUUGAAAUUUACUAGGAGUUAAAGUUCUUUUACACAAAUAAACCAAAUGAAGACAACAUUUGUAAUUGACAAAAUACAAUAUGAUUUAUUGGCUUAAUUUAUUAAAAAAAAGGUGUCAGAGAUUAAUUACUAUGACCCAAGAUUGUUUUUUCUGGAAUGAUCUUGGAUUAUUACUAUUUAUGUUCUGUAUAUAUAUUUUUUUCUUAGAAAACUCAGAAUUUAUAGAGGGAGUACGUUUAAUAAUUUUAAGGCCCCUUUGGUCUUGGGAUUAUCUAACAUUAUUGGGCGAAAAGGAGUUGGAGAAAAAAUAUAUAGAGAUAUGCUUGUGUUUUUCGGUGGAACUCCAGAAAGUAUAUCGUAAUCGAAUCGGUACGAUUUGUGUAAUGUAAUAUUUUUUUUACAAAAAUAAUUAAUUUUUUUUUGUUAUUAUACUUUUUUUACUAUAGAUAACGUAUCUGUCUGUAAUUCCAAACGAAGUUUUAGAAGGUGAAGGUCAUUGAUCCAAAAAGCCUAAGCUCAUGUAACUAUCUCAAAAUUCUCUCCCUCCCUCUCUCUCUCUCUCUCUCUCUCUCACACACACACACACACACACAACUGCUACUUUACACAUUAUGUUGCUAAUGACUAGUGAGACAUGAAAGUUUGAGGGUGAAUCCUUUGAAAAGUAAAUAAAGUGAAGCACACAACUCAUGCAUUAUCAAUCCAUAUUAUCUCUACAUGCAUCCUCAAAAUUCUCUCUCUCUCUCUCUUACACACACACACACACAUCACACACACACACAAAUGCUACUUUACACAUAAUGUUGUUAAUGACUAAUGAGACAUGAAUGUUUUAGGAUGAAUCCUUUGAAAAGCAAAAGAAGUGAAGCACACAACUCAUGCAUUAUCAAUCCAAAAUUCCCUCCCCUCUUUUCCAGGUGGGGGAGGCACAUGCAUGUGUAAAGGACUACACUUUUUCUCUUCAACCCCACCCCCCACCACCACCCCCCACCACUUGGUUUCUCUCAAAUCAAAACAUCUCCAUUUUGGUGCACCUCUCAUCUUGUUGAAGAAGCCANCCUCUAGAAUAUCCCUGAAUACAUACAAAUAUAAAUUUACAAUUGUUCUAUCUUGUACCAGAAUAUCCCCUGUUCUCGGUAACAAUAAAAGUUGUUAUUUAAAAUUUAGUUUUCCAACCAAACACAGCCGUAAGUUAUCGCUAAAAGUAUGCUUUGGUGUUAUAAGUCCAGUUGUCUUUCAUGCUCUUGUGGGAAAUUUUAUGGAUAUCAAACAGCUUAUGUUUUCUAGGCUAAAUUAUAAAAAGCCCCUUAAAUUAAACCACUUAUCUUAAUUAUCCUCAUGCAUAAAAAGGUACAUCCAUUAUCUCUCUACAUUUUGACAUUUUUUUUUGAGAAUAGGUAGCACGCUACCUACUUCAUUCAUUGAAGAUAUGAAUUAGGCUACAGGGGUGAGACAGCCAGGACCUCGAGGAAAAACGAACCGCAUAAAAAAAAUAAAUAAAAAAAUCAAAGGAGGUCUUUCCAAAAAUCAAUCAGCUGCUUGAGCCUUCCCACCACUAAAACAGGAUCAUCUUUAUACCACGAAAGAUAAGGUUGUUCCUGGCCUUCUAUAAUCUUAAAUAAAUCCGCCUAUUCGGAAUAAUUGUUGAAUUCAACUAUAAAACUUUAUAAAAGCACAUUUGCAGAUAAAAUUAUGUGCAAGUAAUGCAAAAGAAUCAUAAAAAUUGAAUAAAUUGCUAGAUAAACUAUCAUUUUUGAUAGUAUUAGAAAAAUAGAGGAUCUCAUUUAUCUAAAUUUUUAUAUUUUUUUUUGAGUUGCAAGUUGGGUAUUUACUGAGAUGUGAAACAAUAUGAUAUGCUAACUCGUUUUAGUUAAGUUUUACAGCUUAAUUUGUUAGUUCUUUAAUUUUUUGGAUCUAUUUGAGAUGAAGACGAAACAUAGGAUGGUAAUUAGUACAAUUUUUAAUACAAGAGGAUAAUUGAGGCUGAGGUUAUAACGCACAAAUUUUUUUUUGUAAAAUUUAGUUUUUUUUACCACAUCUUUUAGUGCAGCAUAAAAUGCUAUUCUGAAAAUCAGACCAAAUAUACACAAAGUAACAGUUCACAUUUUCUAGAAGAAUUUAAAUGUAAAUGCUCUUUUAUGUUUUUAUUAGAUACAACAUAAUAUGCCCAAUUUUGCAUUUUUUAUGUCAUCCAAAGGCAAAGCAAGGAGCAUCAUUCAACACAGCCAAGAUAUGUUUGAUAGUGGAGCUGAAAAACCCAAAAAAGGAAAAAAAGAAAAAGAAAAGAAGAGAGAGGAUGAAAAAACAAAAAAUAAAAAGAAAUAAAGAAAAGGACAUGCAUGACUUGAUUCCUUGGGAGGUGGAAACUGUGGCCACCAAUCUCAUGCUGCCCCCUCUUUUGUCCUCACAUUGCUGAAAUUUUAUGCAGCCCCAUCACUUCCCAAGAGAGCAGUCUUCACCAAACACCCCUCCCCCACCUCCCCUCCCUCCCUCCCUGCUUUUCUUUCUUUGGGCUUCUCUACCUUUCUCCUACUGCUUUUUUGGCUUUACCACUACUUUUUAUUUACUCAGCUUCAACUUUUCCCUUCUCCUCUUAACUCUAACUCUCUCUCUUUCUACAUUACUCUCUCCUCCACCUCUCUUUUGCCCCUUCUCCCUCUCUCUCUCUCUCUCUCCAUUCUUUGCAGUAAUGCUCCCUCCUCCACCUCCAUCUCUUGAAGAGGAGAUUACUUAGAAAGAAAUAACUUCAAUGGCUACAAGGGUUAUUAGGGCUCAUCAUGGCCUCCUCCUCCUCUUCUCUCUCCUCCUAUCCCUUCAGUCUGCUUGCUCUUCAGGUCAGUACAUCACUCAUUCUCCUCUCCCUUCCUUUCCCUUUCUUUCUGUUGCAUUUUUUUUUUCUCUUAUUGAGCUACAAACAACAACAACAACAAAAGACAAGAAGAGACAAAGAAAGAGAGUUUCUCAUUUACUCCUCUUUGAUAGCUACUUUAAGAUUGGCAUAAACCACUUUCCCCUUCUGAUAUACCACAACUGUUUCAAAAUCUCAGUUUCAUUUUUCAUUUUCUUCUUUCUUUGGUGUUUCCAGGAGCCUUUGUGGGAUUUUCAUAUGAUGCAAGGGAAGAGAGGCCUCAAUCUUCUUCACCUUCACCCACAGAAGCACNCUCUUCAACCCCACCCCCCACCACCACCCCCCACCACUUGGUUUCUCUCAAAUCAAAACAUCUCCAUUUUGGUGCACCUCUCAUCUUGUUGAAGAAGCCACAAAUGUGUAAUCCUCUUUUUUUUUUUUAAUAUGUUUUUUACAUAUUUUUUAUUGGACAUUUCAUGUUGUUUGUGAAAUCCUACAACUAAAGAAAAAAGAUCAUUAAUUUAAACACUAUUCUUUCCAUAACAAAAUAUUUCAUGUGCUAAAUUUUACUUGUAUUGCGAAUCGCAUAAAAAUCCGAUCUACGUUCCUAUCGAUAGAAAAUGUGGGAGAUUUUUGCAAGCUAAAUCAUGAUUUCGAGAAUUUUUGCAGAAAUACUGUUUGAGCAUAACUCGUCUAGAAGUCUUUACUAAUUUUCAUUUAUUUUUGUUAGCUUCGGGAGCUAGAAGUGUAAGUUAUCGCUAAAAGUAUGGAUAUAAAACGAAUUGGGCUGAAAUACCAUUAAUAGUAUUCGGCUUUUUUUGCUAUUAAGUUUUUAACCAUUGGAUGAAAAAUUAUAGGGUUUAGUAGUGGUCCCCCCUAGGGUUGAGUGAGUGGUUAGUUGAAUAGUAUGAUCUAAAAGAUAAGACUAAUUAAAGUGUAGAUCUAACGAUUAAAAAAUCGAUAGCAAAAGAGCCCAAAUACUAUUAAUAAUAUUCUAGUUCAACUUGAUAUCAAGCAGCCUAUUCUUUUUAGGGGCUAAAUUAUAAAAAGCCCUCUCGAAAUCUACCACUUAUCUUAAAAUUCCUCAUGCAUAAAAAAUUACAUCAAUUAUCUCUAUACAUUUUGUCGUUAUCUUAAAUAAAUCCACCUAUUUGGAAUAAUUGUUGAAUUUAACUAUAAAACUUUAUAAAAGUACAUUUGCAGAUAAAAUUAUGUGUAAGUAAUGCAAAAGAAUCAUAAAAGUUGAAUAAAUUGCUAGAUAAACUAUCAUUUUUUAUAGUAUUAGAAAAAUAGAGGAUCUCAUUUAUCUAAAUUUUUUUUUUUUUUUUUUGAGUUGCAAGUUGGAUAUUUACUGAGAUGUGAAACAAUAUGAUAUGCUAACUCGUUUUAGUUAAGUUUUACAGCUUAAUUUGUUAGUUCUUUAAUUUUUUGGAUCUAUUUGAGAUGAAGACGAAAUAUAGGAUGGUAAUUAGUACAAUUUUUAAUACAAGAGGAUAAUUGAGGCUGAGGUUAUAACGCACAAAAUUUUUUUUGUAAAAUUUAGUUUUUUUUACCACAUCUUUUAGUGCAGCAUAAAAUGCUAUUCUGAAAAUCAGACCAAAUAUACACAAAGUAACAGUUCACAUACACAAAGUAACAGUUCACAUUUUCUAGAAGAAUUUAAAUGUAAAUGCUCUUUUAUGUUUUUAUUAGAUACAACAUAAUAUGCCCAAUUUUGCAUUUUUUAUGUCAUCCAAAGGCAAAGCAAGGAGCAUCAUUCAACACAGCCAAGAUAUAUUUGAUAGUGGAGCUGAAAAACCCAAAAAAGGAAAAAAAGAAAAAGAAAAGAAAAGAGAGGAUGAAAAAACAAAAAAUAAAAAGAAAAAAAGAAAAGGACAUGCAUGACUUGAUUCCUUGGGAGGUGGAAACUGUGGCCACCAAUCUCAUGCUGCCCCCUCUUUUGUCCUCACAUUGCUGAAAUUUUAUGCAACCCCAUCACUUCCCAAGAGCAGUCUUCAGUCUUCACCAAACACCCCUCCCCCACCUCCCCUCCCUCCCUCCCUGCUUUUCUUUCUUUGGGCUUCUUCUCUACCUUUCCCCUACUGCUUUUUUGGCUUUACCACUACUUUUUAUUUACUCAGCUUCAACUUUUUCCUUCUCCUCUUAACUCUAACUCUCUCUCUUUCUACAUUACUCUCUCCUCCUCCUCUCUUUUGCCCCUUCUGUCUCUCUCUCUCUCUCUCUCUCUCUCUCUCUCUCUCUCCAGUAAUGCUCCCUCCUCCACCUCCAUCUCUUGAGGAGGAGAUUACUUAGAAAGAAAUAACUUCAAUGGCUACAAGGGUUAUUAGGGCUGAUCAUGGCCUGCUCCUCCUCUUCUCUCUCCUCCUAUCCCUUCAGUCUGCUUGCUCUUCAGGUCAGUACAUCACUCAUUCUCCUCUCCCUUCCUUUCCCUUUCUUUCUGUUGCAUUUUUUUUUUCUCUUAUUGAGCUACAAACAACAACAACAACAACAAAAGACAAGAAGAGACAAAGAAAGAGAGUUUCUCAUUUACUCCUCUUUGAUAGCUACUUUAAGAUUGGCAUAAACCACUUUCCCCUUCUGAUAUACCACAACUGUUUCAGAAUCUCAGUUUCAUUUUUCAUUUUCUUCUUUCUUUGGUGUUUCCAGGAGCCUUUGUGGGAUUUUCAUAUGAUGCAAGGGAAGAGAGCCCUCAAUCUUCUUCACCUUCACCCACAGAAGCACUAUCUUUCCUCCACAAGAACAGACUCUCCCCUGCUCAGUACAGAAUCUUCCUCACAAACCCACAACCCUUCUUACAUCCACUGUCCAAAUCUGCUGUCCCUGUUGAUCUGUUUCUGAAACAGUUUGACACUCAAAAACCAUCAGAAGCAAAUGCUUUAGCUUCCUCAUGGCUAGCAACCCACCUCAUAAGCACUCUCCCCUAUCUUAACAUCACCAACAUCAUAGUAAUCCCCAAUGAGAGGGCCCUCCCUUCACUCCUCCACACCCUGAACUCACUCUACUCCUCCCUCAAAGCCUUCGGCCUCGACCGGGCCGUAAAAAUCUCAGCGAUGUUCUCCCUCUCCACCCUCGAAACCGUUGGGAAAACUCGGAACAAGGAUUUUCGGAGAGCCGUGGAAUUUGUAAAGAAGAAUUCGGGGUCGUUUGUGCUGAUAGAGACCUUCGUGGAUGGACAACUGAGCUUAUCUGAUGGGUUUGUUCAAUCCACUGCACAAAGGGCCAUAACUGCUUUGAGUGCUCUAUCCAACUUAGAAGACACCAUUCCCUUAGUUUUCAAUGUGAAGAGCUAUGUUUCCCCAAGUGAAGUAGAAGUAGCUCAAUUCAGCGAAAAAAUGAAAAGGUCUUUAGAUAUGUAUCCUGUCAUAAACAAAAGGGUUUGGGGUUUUUAUGUGGAUGUAUCUCAUGUGGGGGAAACUCGGAAGGAAAUACUAAAUUGGGAGGAGCAACUGAUUUUCCCUUCUUCUCAUAGAGAGCUGCUGCUUCUUGACCAUGAAAAGAGUACGACGGUCCGCGACACUUAUGCUCCGAUAACAAACCCCGUCACCACCACGCCCAUCACUGUCCCUUCCACGAACCCAUCGCCGGGGAUAGUGACCGUCCCUUCGACCAAUCCUGUCACUGUUCUUCCCACUAACCCUUCCACGACACCUAUCACAAUCCCUCCCACGAAUAAUCCGAUGCCGAUGCCGACACCGACACCUGCAACCACUCCAGUGCCAGUCACAAACCCUUACCCUACGCCGAUGACCACUCCCAUCGUGCCCGUCACGAAUCCAGCGACGACUCCAACGAUGGUUCCUGUGACCAAUCCUGUUACGACUUAUCCUUAUACGCCGCCAGGGGUUUACACGCCGACUUAUCCAUAUGCGCCGGCCGGGGGUUACGUGCCGUCCGUAACGCCGCCUGUCACUGUGCCGAGCACCAUGCCGGUUACACCUGCAGUAGCAGGUCAGACUUGGUGCGUGGCGAAGACCGGUGUGCCGGAUUCGGCACUCCAAUUGGCACUGGAUUAUGCCUGUGGGAUUGGGGGUGCGGAUUGCUCGGCGAUCCAACCGAUGGGCAGCUGCUACAACCCCAACACGCUUCAGGCUCAUGCAUCAUACGCAUUCAAUAACUACUAUCAGAGGAAUCCUUCACCAACAAGUUGCGAUUUUGGAGGGACGGGGAUGAUCGUCAAUGUUAAUCCAAGUAAGAAAACACUUGCAAUUUGAGCAUCCUUUCUUGAGUAUGAAACCGAAGCUUUUGCAGAAGUGUUGUCACGUACAACUGUUCGAAGAAGCAAUAAUAGCUUUUCCAUUGAUAUCCUCCCCAACAGCUGUAGCAGAAGCCGGAGCUUUAAACUAUAGCUGCUGCUUUUGGGUUUGAAAAACUCAUUUCAAUUUCGAGGUAGAAAAAAAAAAUUUAGGGUUUUUUGCUAAGAAAUUGAUCUCUGGAACUUUUUGCAGGCUCAGGGACAUGCAUUUAUCCAACUUCAAGGUAAACACUGCUAUGAAAAAGCAAUAUCAUAUACUAUAAAUGCUGUCUAUUCAACAUGCAUAACAUGACCUUCCUCACCUCUUGCAUUCGCAGCGGGGUCUCUGGCUAUAAUCCUACAGCCACUACUCCUGGUUUUACUCCUGCUUCAAGUUAUGGUUCGACUCCUGGUACAAGUUCUGGUUCGACUCCUGGUACAAGUUCUGGUUCGUCGGUGUUGAACACUAACAACUCGGGCUCGAGCACAGUAUACGGGUCGGACAACCCAACAGGCGCCGGCAGCAACUCAUUGUCUCGCUACGCUGGUUGGACCUCCUUAUAUUUUGUGAUCACCUUAGCCUAUAUCAGAGGUAGGCUCUAAGUUAGAGUGUGAGCUAAUUCAGGUGCCGAAAACGGAAUGAUGGGUAGAUUGAGAACAGCUUCCUAGUGCUAGUUCUAUGAUAGUUAGAGUAAUAUUCAUAUACAAUGAGUUGUAAAGAACAAAUUUGAUGUGUAUAUGGACUAAGUAGAUGAGUAGAGCUUGAGAGUGCCUCUCUUGUAGAACUUUGUUGAUGCUUCAUUUCGGAGAUGUAAAUCAGCUUUAUGAAAAGGUGAAAAAAACAAAAUAUUUAUGGAUGCACAGAGAAAUGAAGUGUAACAAUGGUACCUGUCAACCUGAAGAAGGAUGCUAGUUCCGAUCAGAAGAGUUAUCUCCAUUGCCAAUUGCCAUGGCUGCUGUUAGUAUUUGUCAUCCCCGUCUCUUGUUUGUGGUUCUGUUUCUGUACAUCUUCUGGACCAUAAACACUAACAGAUCACUUUGGACAAUCACUUCUAUAGAUAUGAGAACACAGAUACCAUUGCCCUACUGGCUUUUCUUCGAGAGAAAAGAAAGAAAACAAAACAGAAAAAAUAAUAAUCAAUGCAAACUCAAGCACCAGGUGUCUGCCAAUUCUUGUUAUCUCUUCACAACCAGUUUAAACUGUAUUCAGAUAUACAAGCUUGAAUCACAAUGUAGAGGAAAAGUAAGAUAAAAUUCUAAUACAUCUUCAAUAUAGAUAGAUAAAUUUGUACUGUGAAUUAUACUAGCUCGAUUACCGUGGGAUGCAACCAAUUAGACUGCAUGAUUCCACCAUGUAAUAAAGUAACAAAUAUUUGGAGAACCUAAAGAUCAUACAAGAUGAGAUUUAGAAGGAAUGAAUUAGCACAAUAUUACCUUUACAUAAUGCAUGGUAUUAUAUGGUUGACAUUUCGUGCCCUUUAUAAAAGGAAGAAUUGUUUCAACUAGUAAAAGUAAAACCUUUCAUUUGAGGGCACAAGAGCUAGACAGAGAAUACAUAUUGAGGAAUUUGUUAUGGAUGUUCGAUACUAAAUUUCCAAAAUCUAUACAUGUUUUAUUCCGUGGGUACAACGCAGUCGAAAUUAUAUCUACAUGAGCGACCAAAUAUGUUUACCACUAAUCUGAAAUAUAAUACGAGAGAUUACAACAGCGGGAUGCUUUAAUAUACAGAACAAUAAGAUCUAAUAAAGAAGAGAUGAUUAUGAAACCAUUACUUUUCUAAUAGAAGAUCUAUUAUGAUAAACUUCAUCUAAUCACUGAGAUCAUCAUCGAGAAAGUUAAGAUCACCACCAUCUUCGUCACUAGCAGUAGCCAUAGAAGCAGGAUGAACCUCUAAGGACUCGACUACUUCAGGCAAAGGUAUACUGCUUGUAUGAGGUUUCCUUGACGUUGCAUCUAAAUGCAUAUUCUCGUUUACUUCCUUUAAGUAGGGCUCUUGUUCCGUUUCAUUAUAAAGAGUCUCCUACAUUCACAACAGGCAAUCCGAUCAAUCGAUAUAACAAAAACAAGUGAAUCGAAUUAAAGAAUAAAGAUACUUCUACAUGUAUAUAACUGCAAAAUCAUACAUCUAUGUACAUAUUCUUGUAAAAUAUCAAUUUUCAUAUAUGUUCCUUGAAACUGCAGUUGUUUACAACAAUAUCCUUAUCUUACGUUGAGAAGUCUCCAAAUUAAUGGGCGAAAGUUGGUUUUUUUUAAUUAGCAUUUUUGUAUAUUUUUAAGAGAGGCAUUUUUAACUAAACGCUAUAUGUGGAAGACAUUAAGUUUUUGGAGGGUUUGCAGUUAUAUACAUUAAAAAAUAUACCUCGCCUCCUGGAGAAGCUGCUUUGUCAAUCUCAACAACCCAGCUUUCCAACAAUCUCUCUAGUAGAGCAUUGUCAAGGGAAAUUGAACAAUCAUCUGUCCUGUUAAAUUGCCAUUCGCGAAGACGUAGGUUGUAAUGGGUGUAAGUAAGAUCCUUUAAUCUUUUUUGGGCUAUACGAUUGCGUCUAGUAGUGUGAAUUUGAUCAAAGGCACUCCAGUGGUGUUCGGAACCACGAGAUGUACAUGUCUGGCUCAAUAUGCGAAUAGCAAUUCGUUGCAACUCGAGGCAAUUGAUUCCAUGUUGUUGCCACCAGGCAGCUGUGAUUGAAAAAACAUAUCAAAAAAGAAAAAUUGAUGCCUGGUUUAGCAUUGCAAUCUAAAUUGUUGAAAGUUUGCAAUCCAUAUUAGUCAAAUAUGAUUACCUGGAUCCAGCUCCAUCCUUGUACUCAAAGCCAGAUCGGUUCCAAAAUCAGCUUUUGCAAAAACAAAAUCUGAAAUCUAAGAUAAAUAAGAUGACAAAUAGAGUGCAUUAAAAGAGGAAGAGAAAAGAAACCAAGGAAGCUUCUCGGCAAAAUGAAUAAUAAGAGCUGAACAAAGGAAAUCUCCCUACAGAAUAUCAUGAUUUUACAUUGUUCCCCUUGAAAUACUAAAACAUACAUUUUGCCCACUUUGACCUGUAAGCUAAGUGAUAGAUCUUGCCUCAGAGAACACUCACAGAGAGCAAAGGAGUGAAAUAUUGUAGUUUCGAGGGUAAUAUAUAUAGGUUUCAGCAUUCCACCCACGGGAGCUGGUUUGAAAAUUGGGAUAUUCAACUUAGCCAUUACUAAAUUUCACAAUUCAAACAAUGUGAGUACCUGGGAAGCAGCAGAAACUCUCCUUACAUUAUCCGAUUCAAGUCUAGUUAUGCAUUCAUUCAAGCCACGAAUAACCUCAGGAAGCUACAAAUUAGAUCAUGAAAAAUGAGAAUUAGGUGCAACAUCACACCAUAUCAAGAUGAAACAUUCACUUGAAAAAGAAAAAGGUAAAAGAAAAAGGUAACAUUCAAUGCUUUAAGCAUACCGCCAUGAAGUCUGGUCGAUAUCUAAAGGACGGGUUCAAGAAGUAAGCAGCAACAUACAGAGGAUGGUUGAAAACAGCAUUCCAAUGACUGUCUAUUACAACCAAGAAAGGCCCAUACUUUCUCUCAUCAUCGCCAUGGACAGCUUUAAUAGACAGCUUAGCUCGGUACAUGUCAUUGUAUAUCGACGGCAUGGACAACCCUUCAUUGCUUUCCGCUUUCUUAAGUAUCUGCAAAACCGGGUCUACAGUUUUUUUCACAUAUUGAAUCUUCUUCCAGAAUGUGGGAUUAACCACAAUCUUUUCUACUUCUUUGCCCGCAUCUGAUUUGGACAAUUGGGAUGAUACCCAUUUGCUCGAUUGGAACAGCUUCUUAAGAGAAGGCCUUUGAUCUAGCAAGCUUUGCAAUGUAAGAAAAGUAGUUGCAAACUUUGUUAUUGAUAGUUUAAAGAGAUCCUUCCCCUCUGUGAAUUCUUCUUUCAUAAGGUUUGCUAGCCACACGCAAUUAUAAAUGUAUCGCGUAAUCUUUUGACCUUUUUCGAUGCAUUCUCUGACCCAUUUUAUCUCAGCAAAAUCCCCGAGAAUUUGAUUGAUGCAAUCCGCAGCAGAAGGCAUCCAGAAUAAGCUUCUUCUCUUCUCCUCUAGCAUCUUUCCAGCAGCUCUAUAAUAUGAAGAAUUUUCUGUGAUUACCUACGAUACGGAAAACUGCCAUUAGAGAGACUACAACAUUCUCAGAAAAAACAACAAGAGGCUCGGACAAUUUUCCAACAAUUUUAUGAAGGGUAAUGUAUGAAUAGUCCUUGUAUUGUCCCGAUAGAGUGACUUGUUCCCUGAACCUUUAGUCUCUAAACUUUCUGAAAAAUUGCGAUUUCAUCUGACUAUUCUAAUAUUUACUUGAAUCAGGGUUAAAAAGGUCAUUUUAUAGAGCAUAAACAAUGGAUUUUUCCCUCCCCCCCCCCCCCCCCCCCACUCUUAACAGUCCGAUAUGGAGUUGCAAUAUAAGAGAAAGUUUGGGACUAAAGAAACAAGUCACAACAUCGAGAUUUGUGCUAGUGCAAUUAACCUUUUAUGAGUAGUCUACUUAAAAGAGUAGAUAGAUUAUGAAAAUAAAUCUGGUACCUGCACCACAUUUGCCUCACCUACUUCCUCCACAACUUUGUCCAACAACUUGAAAAGAUGUGUAGCAUCUUUUACAAUGCGAGACACAUCUAUGGAGGAAACGAAGUACGUUCCUCUCGGGCAAGACACUAAGAAGUUGAUUAUCGUCCUUCCCUGCACAUCUUUCCAGCUAUCCCCUAUAAUACUGCAUCCGGUAGUAGCCCACGAAGCCUUAAUUUCCCCAAAGUAUUCUUUUAUUGUUUCCACUUCAUCAUUAAGUGAUCUAUUAGCAAGUAGUUUGCUUAUUGGGCUUUUAAUUCCAUGACCAUGUUGAGCAACUAAAUCUAGCAUCUUGUGGAAGUAUGCUGAAUCUGCGACAUUAAAAGGUAUAGCUGCAUAACAAAAGAAUUUACAAAUAGCAGAAAUUACUUCUUUAUGGCCUUUCUUAUCAGCCCCUCCCUUUUGUUUUGAAUGCUUAAAGGACAAAGAAUAGUUCCCUUUCUGGGAAGUGGCAUAGAGAGAGUCUGUAGUUAUAUUUCUAGACUUUUUCUUCAUAGCAUUACCACAAGAAACAUCUUGAUCGCCUACAAAAUUAUUUGCAUUAUUUCUUCCACCAGCAACUUCCUCCUCGUCAUUUUCUGUAUGCACGUAAAAUGCCGAAACUUCUUUUGUUUCUAUCCUUCGCCUUCUACCCGUUCGAUGCCAUUUCAUAUUUUCUUUCAUCUUUAGAUACACUUCCUCAGGAGCCAUUUUACAAUAUGCGACUUCUCCGGGAAUUCUCGCUAAAUGUUGCUUAAACCGGUUUAUACCGCCGCUAACUAUUUUCUCGCAAUAAUUGCAUUUUACCUUCUUUUUCUUUUCGUCUUGAGCAACACCAUGUUCCCAACCGGGGUCCACAUACCCUAACGAGCGAAGCGGAGUUAUAACCGUAGCUAAGCUUUGAUCAUUCACUUCCUUUCUUAAUUUCCUUUUAUAGUGGAUAGAGUUUUCCACAUCAUCAUCAUCAUCAUCAUUGGAGUGGACAUCGAAAGUGGGUUCCUUUUCUUUCUCUUCUAACUGCCGUUUUCUUGUAGAUCUAUAUCCUUCGAGAUUUUCUUUCAUUUUAAUGUACACCUCUUCAGGGGCCCUUUUGCAAUAUGUGACUUCACCAGAAAUUCUUGCCAAAUGUUGCUUCAGUCUAUAUAUUCCACCACUUACUAUCUUGCCGCAGUAGUUGCAUUUUACUUUCUUCUUCCUCUCGUCUUGAGGAACACCAUGUUCCCAUCCAGGGUCCAUGAAACCUGUUGACCUAAGAGGAGUCAUCUCUUCAACCAUUUGAAACUUGAGACAGGAGCUUAUACUUUUCGCCUUUCCACCAAGCUUCUGCAAUAGCAGUAACGUAAAUUAUGAACAGCCAAGAGAUACUUAUCCUAACAUAUUUUGUAGCAUUUUCAAAUAGGUAAAGAUGUUUGGAGAGUCUCCCUCUUUUUUUUUUUUUUUGCUCGAUUGACACCCCCGAACCUUUCACUAUUAUUUGUUUUAAGUUAUUCCCAUCAAUUAAUAUGAGGAUUCCACUGGAUUUAAGAGAGACUCCAUUGAUUUUAACAGCGCUUAAUGUUUUUCAAUAUGACAGAACAGCAGGUUCUGUCAACAGUUUGACCAUUAAUAGCUAAUGGCGCGCUAAAUUUCAAUGGAAUCUCCAAUUCAAGUGACGGAAAUAACUCAAUAAACGAGCAUUAAUUGAGAGGGUGCUAAUCCAAAAGAAAUAAACUGGUAGGUAUAAUUCGAAAUGGACUGUAGGUUAGGGCGUCCUAGUACAAUUUUACAUAUCAAAUGUUCACCAACGCAAGUAUCUUUUCAACUUUUUAGAAUUAAUCUUUCUUACUUUAAUUUUUACCAUGAAGAAGAUUUUUCCCUAUGGAUAAUCUAGAAAAGAAAAUUUACCAACACCAGAAUAGAAAAGAGAGGUAAAUUUACCUUGUCUGGCUAAUGAUAAUCCUUCGUCACGAUUCUGCCCUCAACUCAUAGAGAAUUAUGAAAUACAAAAAUUGAUAUAUUCUUGUGCAAUUGACUGCAGUUCAAUUUGAUAUUAACACCACAAGACUUGUCUAUCACGGCCCUAUCUUGUUAGACAGAAACGUGAUCCUUGAACCUAUUUAAAUUGAAAUUACAUAAUCAGUUUUGGAAAGGAUUAAUCAAAAGGCAAAACAAAAGGAAAAUGAGGAAAUACGACAAUAUGCUUAGUAUGUGAUCUAACACGGCAAUUUCGGACCUCUUGCUUAUCAUACACAGAAACGAAAAGAAAAAGGUAAAAAAGAACAACAACAAAGUACAAAUUCCUAAAUCACAGUUACAAUUAUAAGGCAACCAUGUUCACUAUUGUUGAAGCAUAUGAAAACUAUGUGGAAAAAUCAUCAAUGUAACUGAUGAAGAGGGAAUAUAAAAACAUUUCACUGAUUUCCAUUUGUGCAAGGAAUACCCUAAAUCCUGAUAUUAAGAGAAACUUAACACCGACCGCCAAUAGAUGUUUUGACAACCAAAAAAAAGAGGUUAGCUUCAUGAUUUUUUCUUUUUUUUUUUUGUUUCGAGAUGAUCUUCAUUCAUUAGAGUACAAAGUUACACAACUUUGAUUAAAGAGUAGAAAUGUGCGAAAAUAAAAAUAAAAAAAUUUCUUAAAUUCCAAAUACUGGCGAAAUUUGAACUGAACAUAAUUCCAGCUGCACUAAGUCCAGUUACUCAGAUGAAUCUACAUUAUCAAAUUACUAACUGCAUGAACCCUAAUUUCUGAUGUAAUUAACCUUAAUACUCACAUUAAUCAGAAUAUCAAAUUCCUCUUUGCAAUAACUCUUAUCUCUAAUUUAACAAGCCACAAUGAUUUCAAAUGAAAGAAGCAUAGAAAGCCACUGAAAUUACAAGUCCAAAUCUCAAAUUCCUAAAUGGUGCUACAAAUCGAACAUGCAAGCUACCCAACUACAAAUAUCCAUUAUAUAAGCAGUUCAUGCGAAUAGAUUCCACAAUUCCAUCAAUAGUCGAUUCAAACCGUAAACCCUAACACCAGCUUUUCAUACGCAACCCUCACCCUUGGUUGUAGGGGAUCGAACCUUAAAUCGAGAUUUUUUACCUCCAAUUAACGCACAAUUACCACACUAACCGCGAUCGGGGAGCGGAAAGGAGGGAUCUGAGGAUUACCCGAGUGGGAGCUCGAUCUCAUCCUCUUCACCUUCCGUGUCGCCGAGUUGUGUUCUUCGUCCCCGGCCCCCAUUCAUUGCUCGCGCGUUGACUCGGAACGAGAUUUAGCGCCGAGUCGGGGCCGGGGAAAAGCCGACUCGGAUCGAACCGGACUCGGCCGGUUCGACUCGCAACCCGGACGGGUUCGGAAACGACUCGGAACGAGAUUAUUUUUCCCAUUUCGAUAGGUCAACGGUCAACGCUCAAAAAGUUAAGAGAGAUUUUCAAAAAGGGCCUAUUUUGCCUAGCUUUUUAAAAAAUAAUUUUUGUAAAAGUGAUUUUGGUUGGAAAAAUUAAUUUUGGUGAAACUGUUUGAAGAAACUUUACAGUUUUUAGCUUCUAUAGCAUUUGUUGAAAUAUAUAUAUAUAUAUAUAUAUACAUAUAUAUAUAUAUAUAUAUAUAUAUAUAUAUUUGUUUAUUUAUUUAUUUAUUUAUUUAUUUAUAUAUAGAGUGAGAUUACUAUGCUAUCGGAAGCACGGAGCCUUCCGUGCUUCCAGCUCGUUUUCGAUGUUGCGACUUUCGAAUCGUCGAUCGGCUCCGUUAAACUUGAUCUAGAGUAUUUGAAGUACCUAGAAAAUAAAUUUUAUGAUUUUACGAUAUCAUUUGCCUAGUGAACGAAGGGGCUCAAAAUCAACGGCUGAAAAUAAAAAUCUUACAAAAUGUAAUAAUAUGACAUUAAAAUUUUAAAUCAAAGAUAUUGAUCUUGUUUUAUAUAGUAUAAAGAAUUUUCUAUCAAAAUUUCACAUGAUUUGAAUAUUUCUAUACCGUUAAACUUGCAAACGGCUCACUACGGCCAUUAAAAUUUGUUGAUUUUGAGGUCAUUCGAUCACUAGGCAAAUGAUAUCGAAAAAUAAUAAAAUUUAUUUUCUAGGUACUCCAAAUACUCUAGAUCAAGUUUAACGGAGCCGAUCGACGAUUCGAAAGUCGCAACAUCGAAAACGAACUGGAAGCACGGAUAGCAUAGUAGCCUCACUCUAUAUAUAUUUAUAUAUAUAGUUAAAUUGACUCUUAGUUGUUGUCUUGUUAUUUUCAGACAUAUGAAUAAGUUGUCUAAUCAUUAAUUCAUAAGACGAAAAAUGAUGAAGUUAAGUUCACUGAGAAAUUAAAAUUCAGCGACUCAGAUUGAUAAAAUUAUAAUGUAAUUUACUCUCUUAUUUAUUUAUCUAUUUAUUUAGUUAAGUUUCGCUUCCUCUGUGAUUAAAAAGCUUUUAAACUUUAAUUUACUUAAAACAUUUUAUUUAUUUGAAUUUGAAUUAAGUUUAGUUUCCAGAUUCCUGAGAUUAAACCUGGACAGAACCAGAGAGUUUAGAUCUGACAAUGUAGUUUCUGAGAUCAAACCAGAGCAGACAAUGUACAGAUGACGAAUCGAAUCGGUGACAGAGCUCUAUUGAACCAUCUAAUUUCGAAACCAAUAUCAGGAUUAGACAUUCCCGAACUCGACGCAAUCAGAUUGAGUAGAAAAUAGACUUAUAUAAAAAAGAUGAUAAAUAUGGUAAGUGAUACUGUACAAAUCUUCGGCAAUGUAAUUGAUACAAAUGUGUAUCUACCUUGUAAUUAAGACUAAAAUUUCAAAAUUUCGCAAAAUAACUGAACAAUUCAGAAUUACGCUUUGUUGCCAAAAUGUUCGCUAAUAAGUACUUAACCUGUAAUGUAACUAAAGAAUACAAAGUAAUAAGAACAAAUAAAGACUCAUGAAAUCUUUCGAGCUAUAUUUUUCAUCCCGGAUCCGACGCAUUUUAGUAUAACUGUGUUCGUACUCGUAUCGGGCUUGAUGACAAACUUAACUCCGAGAAAAUCCCUGAUAUUUCUAAGCGUUUCUAUGCCGUAGGGUGUGAGCGCUCCCACGCGAACCUUUGAUACAUCCGGCGGGCAUAGAGCACAAAGAAGAAAUAACAAGCCCUGAAAGAAAAAAAAAAAAAAUAUUGUUGUUAAAGAAAAUUAGUUGUUCACAAAUUAACCAGUUCACACCAAACUGGCCACCAAAUUUAUUCCCAAUUAGUCUCCCAAGAAGAUGAUUUAGCUGAAAAUAGUUUAGAGCAAAAAAUGUCGCCAUUCUCUCAAAAAGCUUCCUUGUCAAUGCAGGUGUUUCUGCAGCAUAUUAGAGUUAAAUUUGCAUCAAUUUGAAAUUAACCAAGUGAAAAGUAAAGAGGUUGGAAAGUGAAAUCAGACCUGGUGGGUAGAAUCAACUACUCCUCCCUGCUUGAUCUCUCCAAGCAAGAUAGAAGCAACUUCAAUACCAAUAUCCUCCGGAGUUUUAACUUCCGGCUUCUCCUCAGUGUCUUCAUCCAUUUCAUCCGCUUUUUCAGUACUUGCAAUAUCCGCGGAUAUCAAACAACCUGUAGUAGUCUCCGCAACCAAAGACAUGCCAUAUCCCGGUGACCUGCCGUAUCAUUCAGCUACUAGUUAGAUAAGAAGCCGAGACAUACCGUUGUAGCUAGAGCUUCCACUAAGGCUAUUUCGAAAUUGUUGGCAUAGCAAAAGUUCUAGUAUUUUCGCUAGACAAAAGCCUAAAAGAUGCCUCUCGGAGUCCAGAAGCAGUUUCGUAAGCCAAAGCAAACGACUAACAGAUGAGUCUUGGAGUCAAGCAAAUCAGAUGGUUUAACUCACAUGAAAUAAAUAAUACGCCCCGAAGGACAAAAGCAUAAUCUAUUCAUGAUGUUCUCUAAUAAAGCACUAGAUAAGACGAUAAAAAACAUAAAUCUGUACAAUUCCACAAUCUCAAGUACUAUUGUGACAUGUCGAAAACACCCAUAUUUUUUUUGGAUGAAAGAAAAAAAUCAAUUCAGGCGUCAGAUAUUACAUCCCUUGCUUGCUUGUGAAACAAAGACCUCAAACAACCAUUUGAUUUAGAGUUAAUACUUUAUUAUUUUCACAAAAUCAAGCACAAGGAUACACACAUAUAUAAGUUCAAAAAUUGAAUCCGAGAUUCUUUUUGUUUGUUAGGAAAGAAAAGCUAAUAUAAGAAGAAGAUAAAUAGCUAGUUAGAGUACCUUCCCCCAGCCGGACCAGAUCUAUGAUCGGUGAAGAUAUGAACAUCCGGUAUGAAGUUAUUGAAGACUCCACGUACAGCAUACACCAUACGAUUUCCAAUCUGAGGAGACACUCUCGUGGAGAAUGUUAUCCCUCUAAUUCUCUUAACCAUCCCUUCGUCCACCCAAUGCGUUGCCUGAUUGGCACAUUAGAUACUUUAAGUAAAAUCUUUUGGGAAAAGGUAAAUGAAAUAACUAUCAACAUGCCAUUUACACCCACCGUUAAUGUAUUAGGGAUGAUAGGAACUCGAAGAAGGACCUCUCCGCCGCCAAGAGGAGGAGCACCACGACUUUCUAUUUUCAGCUCCAGCCCUUCUAAAGGAACACCAAAGCGCCUAAGCAUAUGCAACGUGGUAGUCCGAAAGGUAUCGACAGACGGGUCCUUGGAAUCAUUAGUAAUUCCUGACGAGCGAAGCAUCAAAGUGGUGAUUCACAUGCAACGAGAAAAGCAAAGUCAAUUUGGAUUUUGUAUUGCAACACUUAUCUAUUUUAUGAACUAAAACUCGGCAGUAUUGAAUGGCUGAAUACUACCGAUUAAAGUAACAUGGAGAUCUACCAAAGUCAAUCUAUUUUUAAACCGUUCAAUCGCUCUUUUCUUUGUUCUCACUAAGCCUACUUAAUAGGAGAAACUUAAAUAAGAUUACUGUCGACAAGCGAAUUUGAAAUCUACCCUAUGAUGUCAAACGCCAAAUUUUAUGCUGGCCCGAUUCUCUGCACAAGAACAAUUACAAUCAAAUUGACCAAAGAAAAAAGGGGAAAAAGCAAAAUUUUACUCCCGAAAUUCCCUUUUUCCCUCCCUUCUCAUAAGUUUAAUUAAGCAACACAAAUAAAAAAAAAAAGACGAAUUAAAAGGAGAGAGGAAGAGAUAGAUCAAACCUUUGAGCCUAAUAGAGAGGGGCUUCUUCCCGAAAAGCCCCAAAAGUAUCAGCGGCUCGAGGAAGUACCCGAUCGAGCGGCUCAAACCGCAAUCGUGCACGAGAUUCUUUCCCCCGAUCAAAACUCCGGGCUUGUAUAGCAACUCCGUCCCUAAAUCGCCCCAAAAAAACACACCAAAACAAAAACGAAUCAAAGCUAGGGUUUUUGUUCAAAAUCGAGAAUCGAGAGGAAGGGAGAUGGGGGGAUCGAUCAGGAUUAUUACCGCUUUCGCCGAACUCGAUCAAGGAGUGGUCCGUGAUCUUCUCGAGGAGGCGGAAGAGGGAGACCUCGUGGGGUCGCAGCCCCGGGAAGGUGUCGUCGGAGUGGAUCUCCUUCACCACGAUCGGCGUCGCCGUGAGAGUCGCCAGCACCAGCCGCUGCCGAAGGUGGCGGCUCCCCCUCAACCUCAUGUACGUCGUCUUCCCCAUCCCUACCUCUCUCUCUCGAUCUCCGCGGCGGUGGUCGUAAAACCCUAAUGGAGAGACGUUCUACAGUGGAACUAGGGUUUUAGAAUUGCUCUGGCCCCAAUCCUAUGCAUUUAAAUAGCCGGUUUGAAGCCGCCAAAUCUUAUCUAAUAGAUUGAAUGAUAAACCGGUUCUCUAUUCUAAAGAGGGCUCGGGUUGAUUCGUUAACUAAUCAAAAACCCGUUAAUAUUUUUAAAAUUAAUUUUUCAAAAUUAUUUAAUAAGGCACUCAUAAUUUCCUAUUUGGUUUUAUAUUUCAUAAAAAAAAUAUAAAUUUUAAGUGCUACGAUUGCUCUCUUAUAUACAAAUUUCCUAUUUGAUUUUAUAUUUCAUAAAAAAAAUAUAAAUUUUAAGUGCUACAAUUGCUCUCUUAUAUACAGUAUAUAGGGGGCACGUUUGGUUCGAAGUCGAAAUCGGAAUUAGAAUUAGAAUCUAAAUCGAAAUCGAAAUAAAUUAGAAUCAGAAUCGGAAUGACUCAUUAUUUAAUUCUAUUUGGUUCGUCAGCUGCAUCGAAAUCGAAAUAAAUUAUUUUUAUUAUCGAUGUUUUAUUCAUAGAUAUAAAAUAUACUAAUUUUAUCUUUAUAAUAUAUUAAUUUAAAUUCAAAUUAAAAAUUAAAUAUUAAAAAUUUAUAUCAAAAUUUUGAAAUAAUAUCAAAAUUUUAAAUCUACUUUUUUAAAAAAAAUAAAUUAAAUU
Molecule: long non-coding RNA, 54153 nt
Filed under: Ananas comosus (pineapple)
Lineage: Eukaryota; Viridiplantae; Streptophyta; Magnoliopsida; Poales; Bromeliaceae
Description: long non-coding RNA (ACOM_LNC021607)
Source: RNAcentral